This 56044-nucleotide long non-coding RNA is filed under the name Medicago truncatula (barrel medic). RNAcentral's name for it is "long non-coding RNA (MTRU_LNC004244)". The record is from RNAcentral. Lineage: Eukaryota; Viridiplantae; Streptophyta; Magnoliopsida; Fabales; Fabaceae.
GAGAAACAGUGAUCCACGUCAUUGAAUCAGGAAAACGCUACUUCGUUUGUGGCAGAAUGGGCCAUUGCCAACAAGGCCUGAAACUCAAAGUCAAAGUUCAAGCUCAGUCCAACAACACCUCCACCUAUUUCUCCACCAUGCCCUCAUUCUCCUCCUAGUCCACCUGAUGAUAAUGGCUCAACCAAAUGUAGAAGUGAAGUUGCUAGUCCUCCUCCGAAGUUAGUUUGAGCAAUGAAAAGCUUAGUCCAUCAUGGCAAUGCGUAAGCUCAGGGGCCUUGUUUUUUAAUUCUCCUUUGAUUUUUUAUGAUUUCAAAAAGAAAAGACCACUCUCAUUCAAGACUUCGUUUGGAUUCUCCAUUUCCACUCUUGCAACACCAGAGUAUUUUGGUCACAAAAUUUCUUUCAUUAUAAGCUCAGCAAUAGCUUCUAGAGAUGGUCCGUUUGCGUACCCUAAGAAUUUCUUUGGAGUGUCAAUUGAUACCAAUCUGGAUCCAUUUGGUACACCAACUGAAUUGUACAUUCGACUCUAACAACAGUUCCUUCGCUUUAGCUUUUGCAAAAUUUAUCAAAAAUAUACGUAGCGGUGCGGAGUAUACAUGUUCGGUAGAAUUUGAAGCUAUAACAGAAAUCAUGAUGGUUUAUCUUGGCAUAGGAUUUAUCAAACCAGUUGAGCCCUUGUUAGUAACUAGAGGUGAAGCAGUUGAUUCAUACUUAAGUUCAAAUAAUGGUAUCCAUUUUGUCGGAUUGACUAGUUCAUCAAAUGGAUGUUGUAAAAGUCCGAUUUUCAAUAGAUUUAUUUUUAAUUCUUUUAUUAUGUGUUUAUUUGUGCUUAUGUAUGAUCAUUCAUCAUUGGGUGCAUUUUUAUGGGUUUCCGUGUUAGAAGGAUAAUUUAGUCAUUUUGGACUCAGGGGUAUUUUGGUCAUUUUGAGUGUAAGAGUAAAUUAGUAACUUUUAGGAGAAUUACUUUUAGUGGUUAGUGAGAACCGAUAUUUUUGCUAAGUUACUAUCGUAGUGGUUGUUAGAAUUUUACCGUUAAGUGACCGUUAUUAGUAAUUUACCGUUGAGUGUGUAGAAACAUUUUAUAAUUAAGUUGAAGUGGGUUAAGUCCACUAAGGUUUAGGGUUAAGCCCAUUAAUAGAAUAGACUAUAUAAGGGUUGUCUUAAGAGAAAAUAUCGCAAAAUUUUUCACUACAAAGAUAUUUUGAGAGAGAUAGAGGGAGAAAGUGGGAGCAAAGAGGAACAAGGGUUAGAGAGAAAAGGAACUUGAAGAUUCAAGAAGAGGAGAGAAUCUAGGAGCUAAAGUGAAGCUUGAGCUAGGGAAUUAAUCUAACUAAGGUAAGGGGGUUAGAAUUCAUCAUAAUCAUUUUAGUGUAAAUUUUCAAUUAUUGUAUGAAUAAGUGCUUAAUUGAGGAAUUGACUAAUUGUUCAUAAUCGUUAGAAUUUGUGCUCCAAUUAUGAUGUUAUGUAUGAAUGCAUGAAGUUGUUGAUAAUUGAAUGGUUGUUAAAUAAAUUUCAUGUUCAAAGUAUGAGAAAGUGGUAUAUGUUGAAAUAUGCUCAAAUUGUGAAUUAUGCUAUGUUGAUGUUGGAUUAUGCUGAGAUUCAUGUGCAAUUGAUGUAGAUGUUGUUAAAUGAUGAUGUUAUUUAUAAUUCAUGGCUUGAGCGUGCAUGAUUAACGAAUUGUUGAUGAGAUGGAUGGGUAGACGCUGUGCAGGAUUAGUUGCUCUGAUGAGUUGAUUGUUGCUUGGUGGAUAUCGGGAACUAUCUCCAGUAUCGGUGUUUGUAGAUUCUAGGAUGGCUCUGAUCUAGGCGUCUAUUUAUGUUUAUAUGUUUCGAUUUAUUCAUGUUGGAGAUUUACCCAUUGUUGGGAUUUGAAGAUUCAUCUAUGUUGAUGUAUUAUUUAAUUCAUGACAUGUAUGCUUCAAAGUAUUCUGGUUUAUAUCCGCUGCGACUGUAGAGAUUUUUAUGCAUGCAUGUUGAAUUUGAAUUUUGUAUGAUGACGUAGCAUCUAUUUCUUGAAUAAAGGUAUUAUUCGCAUGUUUUAUUGCUUAUAUAGAAAUAGGGUGUUACAAGUUGGUAUCAGAGCCGUGGUCAGUCUUGUCUGAACUAAUACUCGUUACAUUUUCCUGUUGUGUACGAAUGGUAACAUAGUACCUUCGGCAUUUGGUUUGUUGUGUUGUUAUUCUUAUCGAUUAGUUGGUUUGUGUGUGCUGAGAUGGCAGGUGGCAGGGAGGAUGCUACAAUUGCACAAGCCUUAGCGGCGAUGGCUCAGGUGUUGGUUCAGUCGAAUGAGAAUGCGGUGGCUAGUCGUCGAAACGAGGGGGAAGCUGAGGAGCGGAGGCUCGAUCGGUUCUUGCGGAACAAUCUGCCGACGAUCAAAGGGAGGUUCGACCUAGAGGGAGCUCAGACUUGGGUGCAGGGCAUGGAGCGGAUAUUUCGUGCUAUGGUGACGGGAGAUGACCAAAAGGCCAGAUUGGCGACUCAUAUGCUUGCUGAGGAGGCUGAGUACUGGUGGACUAAUGUCAAAGGAAGAUUUGAGAUGGGAGGAGAAGUUGUGACCUGGGCGAAGUUCAAAGCAGAAUUCUUAAGGAAGUAUUUCCCUGAAGAUUUGAGAACUAGGAAGGAGGUGGAAUUUCUGAACCUGAAGCAGGGAAGCAUGUCUGUAGCCGAGUAUGAGGCGAAGUUUGAGGAGCUUUCGAAGUUUUGUCCGUACAUCAAUGCUGAAGAUGCUAUGGUUUCGAAGUGUGUGAAGUUUGAAAGUGGGCUUAGGCCGGAUAUCUAUCAGUAUAUGUGUGUUCAGGAGAUCCGAGACUUUGAUACUUUGGUGCAUAAGUGUUGCAUGUUUGUUGAUGCUGGGAGAGUUAAUGCUAAUUACUACAAGGCUCAGAAUAAGAAGAGAGAAAAAGGCCAUGGAGUUGGGAAACCGUACAACAAGGACAAGGGGAAGAAGAGAGAAGCUGGUGGGGGCUCUAAGCCAAAUUUAGCGGAUGUCAAGUGCUACAAGUGUGGAACUAUAGGUCAUUAUGCCAAUGAUUGUAAGAAGGACAUUAGUUGUCAUAAGUGUGGGAAAGCGGGUCACAAGGCUUUUGAAUGUAAGGGUGUUGCGAAGGAUGUUACUUGAUACAAUUGUGGAGAGAAGGGUUAUAUUAGUACUAAGUGUAUCAAGUCGAAGAAGGCGGCGGGAACAGUGUUUGCUUUGAAUACGGAGGAUGUUGAGUUCUGCUUACCAUCCUCAGACUGAUGGGCAAACAGAGAGGACUAUUCAGAAUUUGGAAGAUUUGUUCAGAGCUUGUGUUUUGGAGCAAGGUGUUAUUUGGGACGAAUGUUUACCGUUGAUUGAGUUUACUUACAAUAACAGUUUUCAUUCUAAUAUCGGUAUGGCACUGUUUGAGGCUUUGUAUGGUCGGAGGUGUAGGACACCGUUGUGUUGGUUUGAAUCCGGAGAAAGCGCAUUGUUAGGACCGGGAGUUGUGCAAGAAACUACGGAAAAGGUUAAGAUGAUCCAAGAAAAGAUGAAAGCGUCUCAGAGUAGACCGAAGAGUUAUCAUGAUAAGAGGAGAAAGGAUAUUGAGUUUCAGGUUGGUGAUCAUAUGUUCUUGUGAGUGAAUCCUGUAACUGGUGUUGGUCGUGCUUUGAAGUGUCGGAAGUUGACUCCUUUAGUCGUUUUGUUGUUUUGUCAGGGGUAUUUAGUCGUUUUGUUGUUUUGUCAGGGGUAUUUAGUCGUUUUGUUAGACCGUUUGAUGUUGUUGAGAAGGUUGGGGUUGUAGCGUAUCGCAUUGCGUUGCCACCAUAUUUGUCGAAUCUUCAUGAUGUGUUUCAUGUCUCAGUUGAGGAAGUAUGUGUAUGAUGCGUCUCAUGCGAUUCAAGUGGAUGAGUUGGAAGUAAGAGAUAAUAUGAUCGUUGAGACUUGGCUGGUUAGGAUUGAGGACCGUGAAGUGAAGCGUUUGCGUGGCAAGGAGAUUUUUUUUGUCAAAGUGAUUUGGGUUGGACCGACUGGUGAGAGUGCCACUUGAGAAUCGGAGAGUAGGAUGAAGGUUUUGUGUCCGGAGUUGUUUCCUUCAGGUAAUUUUCGAGGGCGGAAAUUCUUUUUAGAGGGAGAAUUACUUUUAGUGGUUAGUGAGAACCGAUCUUUUUGCUAAGUUACUAUCGUAGUGACUAGUUGUUAGAAUUUUACCAUUAAGUGACUGUUAUUAGUAAUUUACUGUUGAGUGUGUAGAAACAUUUUAGAAUUGAGUUGAAGUGGGUUAAGUCCACUAAGGUUCAGGGUUAAGCUCAUUAAUAGAAUAGACUAUAUAAGGGUUGUCUUAAGAGAAAAUAUCACACAAAUUUCUCACAUAGUGUCCAAAUUUCUCACAUUUGAAACACUGAAUUUCUCACAUUUGAAACACUGAAUUUUCUUCUUAUCAAUUUUCUUUCUUUGAUUAGAAUUUUCCUCCUUUGAAGAUUCACUUUUUUCAAAUCCAUUGUUCUUGCCUUUAGACCAGUUUCCUCCCUUAGAGUUUUUCUUCCCUUUCUUGAAGUUCUUCCUAUCAUUAUCAUCCUUCUUGGUAGUUUGAACUUGUAGGGCUUGUUGAGUUGAUUUUUCACUGUUUCUUUCAGUUACCAUCAAUUCAUGUGCUUCUAAUGAACUCUUCAAUUCCUCAAUCUUCAAUGUCUUCACAUCCUUUGAUUCCUGAAUUGCUACCACAAUGAAAUCAAACCUUGAAGAUAGAGUCCUCAUAAUCUUUUCAACUAUUUGUUUAGAUAUGUAUUCAGAAAUCUUCUGAUCAUCUCCUGUAACCCCAAUAUAAAAAUUUCUUAAAACAUUUAUCAGAGUAAGCAUCAUAAACAACGAGAUAUCACAUAUAACAUAAUCCAAAACAGUUAAAUAAUAAUUUAACCAGAUAACUUAAACAUUGCAGCGGAAAUUAUAUCAUAAUCCAUAAAACGUUCUGGCACGCAGGCCCCAUCAAAAUAUUUCAGAAGUUAAUCAACAUUAUAAAAAUAACAUAAAUGUUUCACGUAAGAGAAUGAAGCAUGCAUAACAGACAACCCCAUCCCGUUACGUAUCAGAGCGACCUAGACGACGCAGUGAAGGCAAGGCCACUCACGACGGAAACUGCACACUAAGCACGAUCACCUGCAAGUUACNNNNNNNNNNNNNNNNNNNNNNNNNNNNNNNNNNNNNNNNNNNNNNNNNNNNNNNNNNNNNNNNNNNNNNNNNNNNNNNNNNNNNNNNNNNNNNNNNNNNNNNNNNNNNNNNNNNNNNNNNNNNNNNNNNNNNNNNNNNNNNNNNNNNNNNNNNNNNNNNNNNNNNNNNNNNNNNNNNNNNNNNNNNNNNNNNNNNNNNNNNNNNNNNNNNNNNNNNNNNNNNNNNNNNNNNNNNNNNNNNNNNNNNNNNNNNNNNNNNNNNNNNNNNNNNNNNNNNNNNNNNNNNNNNNNNNNNNNNNNNNNNNNNNNNNNNNNNNNNNNNNNNNNNNNNNNNNNNNNNNNNNNNNNNNNNNNNNNNNNNNNNNNNNNNNNNNNNNNNNNNNNNNNNNNNNNNNNNNNNNNNNNNNNNNNNNNNNNNNNNNNNNNNNNNNNNNNNNNNNNNNNNNNNNNNNNNNNNNNNNNNNNNNNNNNNNNNNNNNNNNNNNNNNNNNNNNNNNNNNNNNNNNNNNNNNNNNNNNNNNNNNNNNNNNNNNNNNNNNNNNNNNNNNNNNNNNNNNNNNNNNNNNNNNNNNNNNNNNNNNNNNNNNNNNNNNNNNNNNNNNNNNNNNNNNNNNNNNNNNNNNNNNNNNNNNNNNNNNNNNNNNNNNNNNNNNNNNNNNNNNNNNNNNNNNNNNNNNNNNNNNNNNNNNNNNNNNNNNNNNNNNNNNNNNNNNNNNNNNNNNNNNNNNNNNNNNNNNNNNNNNNNNNNNNNNNNNNNNNNNNNNNNNNNNNNNNNNNNNNNNNNNNNNNNNNNNNNNNNNNNNNNNNNNNNNNNNNNNNNNNNNNNNNNNNNNNNNNNNNNNNNNNNNNNNNNNNNNNNNNNNNNNNNNNNNNNNNNNNNNNNNNNNNNNNNNNNNNNNNNNNNNNNNNNNNNNNNNNNNNNNNNNNNNNNNNNNNNNNNNNNNNNNNNNNNNNNNNNNNNNNNNNNNNNNNNNNNNNNNNNNNNNNNNNNNNNNNNNNNNNNNNNNNNNNNNNNNNNNNNNNNNNNNNNNNNNNNNNNNNNNNNNNNNNNNNNNNNNNNNNNNNNNNNNNNNNNNNNNNNNNNNNNNNNNNNNNNNNNNNNNNNNNNNNNNNNNNNNNNNNNNNNNNNNNNNNNNNNNNNNNNNNNNNNNNNNNNNNNNNNNNNNNNNNNNNNNNNNNNNNNNNNNNNNNNNNNNNNNNNNNNNNNNNNNNNNNNNNNNNNNNNNNNNNNNNNNNNNNNNUUGUCAAUUAAUCAUCAGAAUUACAACAACUAACAUUAUUGAAUUAUUAGUCUCACCCUUACCUUAAUGUGUAGAAAUCGCAGCCCUCCAAGGUCUCUCUUGCUAUUCUCUUGGUUUUCUCCUUUUUUCUCCAAAAACGUACGUACAACAAUGUUUUUUCUAAAACUAGGUCUAUCUCUUUUAUAUCUCCUCUUAAUUACUUAUCUUAUCUCACUUUCUCCCCCAAAACUAUCUAAAAUAUCAAAACAGCCCUGAACUAAAUAUUUUUAUUUUCUUUUCAAAUCUUAUUUUAUUUAACAAUAAAAUAAGUCUCAUAAUCUUAUCAAAUCAUCAAAACACGUCAAAUCUUCCAAAUCAACUUAAAUCUUCUAAAUUCAACAAAACUCACAUAUAUAUUAUAAAAAUAUAAUAUAAUGGCGUAAACUCGAUUAAAUAAUUAAUUAAACGAAAGUGGGCGUUACAUCUCCCCACAUCAUCUCAAAUUUCCUUCUCAGUGAUUGAAGCUUAAUCAAUUUCACUUUAUCAUCACAUUCAUGAUACUUUGAAAGAAUGUCUCAUGCUUCCUUUGAACUAACUAUUUUUGAGAUUCUUUCAAAGUUUCCUUCAUCAAGACUUUGUUGAAUCAAGAACAGAGCCUUGCAAUCUUUCUUCUUAAAUUCCUUGUGUGCGUUCCUUUGCACCUCAGUGGCAUUCGCAGAUGAUUCAUCUACACCAUUCUGCACAAUUUUCAACAGAUCUUGUGCUCCAAACAAAUUCUUCAUCACUGCACUCCAUCUUUCCCAAUUGCGUGCUUCAAGAAUUGGAAGAUGUGUGUUGAAACUAUUGCUACCAUUCGUGGUGUUUCCUUAAGCAUUUCUUCCUUCAAAUUGCGUGAUUGAAGAUAUUGAUAACCCCUUAGAACGAAACCAAAGGCUCUUGAUGCCAAUUUGUUAGCGCAACAAAUCAAUGCUUGUCACACAAGCAAUAGAAACCAGAAGCAGUUUUUCAGUUUUAGGAUUUUCGUGAAUUUGUGAAUUAGAGAGAAAUUGAGAGAAGAGAAAGAUUCUGAAUUGAUGAAAGUAAAAGUGUAUAUUGAUGCUACUGAAAUCUGUAUAAUGAAUGGGUUUAUAUACAAACUAGUGCUAUGUUACUUGAAGCACAAGUAAGUAACAGCUAUAACCCUUAUUUCUUAAAGCUUGUAACCAACUUGUAACAAACUUCAAAACAACUAAAACAAAGUGUAAUCAAUCAGCUAAUUAUGAUUAAUACUAAACUAACUUGAAUUAUCAACUAAAACUAACAAUAAUAACAUUUCACUUCAGAGAAGUGUUCAUGACAAAUUAAAAAGUUUAUCCACUGACUUAGGUUAUGUGGACUGUUUAGAACAUGGUGCAACCUUUACAUGUCUGAUCUAAGUGUUCAUGAAGUGUGGUUGCGUUGUAAUGCUCAUUUUUUUCAUAAUACCGGUGAUUGUUCAUUAUAAUAGAUCAAUAUAUCUAAUGCAACAAUACUUCACAGUAUACAUGCUCCAUUCCCUCUAUCCUAUUUUCAUUAUUUUUUCCCUCAUUAAUAUGAAUACUCUAUAUCUAUAUUUUAAAUUAAUAUUCCUUUCAGUUUUUAAAUAAUAUGUAACUUUCGACGAUAAAGAAUAAUUUUUCCCGUCAAUUGUACGUGUUCACACACUAGUAAUUAAUUGUUGCAUUAGAUAAUUUUGUUCGUAUAAACAUAUAAACUUUAUUUUUAGCCCUUACAAACAUUAUCUUCAAACUCUUGUAAGUACACAUUUUCUGUUAUCAAUUUCAGUCUCCACUUUAACUAUAGUGACGUUGACGAAUUUUUAAAAUAUCUAUCUAAUUGACUUAAUAUAUUUUUUUAAAUAUUUAAUUAACUUAAUUACUUAACUAUUUUUUCGACAUUGUCAAUUUUUUUACGAUGUCACAUGUCACAUGAACUUCCGUUAGACAUUUGUUGUCAUUGUUAACAUUGAAGCCUAAAACUGUUUUAACAAUAAUAAAGACUAAAAUUGAUAACCAAAUAUAUACGUAUGAUUGAAGUUUCAAGAAAGAUGAAUAAUAAGCAAUAGAAAAUGUUGACAGAUUUAUAGAGAAAACAAAUAUAAUUUUAGAUAAAAAUUUGUUAGAUCUCACAAGAACAUGAUUUAAAAACUUAAUGAAUGUUUUGUAAAAUAACAAUAUUAAAAAUAAUAUAUGUAAGAGUAUGUGACUAGUGACUCUACAUAGCCUACAAUGAAAAUUUACUAAGUGAGGUGUGAGCUAUUCGAACAAGACAAAUGUUAUUUGAAUAACCACUUUUUAAAAUAAUUUAUUGGAUAACCAAAAUAUACAAAGAAAUGUAAGGAUUGACACAAAAACCAAAACAAUGAAAAGAGAAAAAGUAGAAAUACAAUGUGAGUAUAUUAAAGAAAGUUGUUACAAAUUUUAAAACAAUUUAUUGGACAACCAAAAUAUACAAAGAAAUGUAAUUAGGAUCGACAAAAAACCAAAGCAGUGAACCCAGUUGGGUUGGCCUGGUGGUAUUGGCUUGGGACUUGGGAGUGUGCUCCUCCUCCAUGUCUCAAGUUCGAUUCUCCCUAGUGCCAAUUAAGGUGGGCUAAUUUAGCUUCUUCAAAAAAAAAAAAAAAAAAAAACCAAAGCAGUGAAAUGAAAAAGGAUAAAUACAAUGUGAGAUGUUAAAGAAAGUUGUUACAAAAAUUAUCAUAAAACCGGUUUUUAAUAUUUAAUUCUAAUACUUACAAGGUUAAAGCAAUCAAGCGGCUAAUACACUACAGUAGAGGUGGCGGCAGAUACAAUGGCUGUCAAGGAUAUGUGACACAUGUAAAGGUUUGUAACGGUGGCGGAGCCACUCAUGAGCUAGGGUGGAUCACGGCCCACCUAAACCCUAAAUAAAACAUUGUUAAUAUGUAAAUAUACACAUUUUAAAGUACGGAGUUAUAUUAUAUAUACAAUAUGUUACGUAAAAAUAACAAUUGUGUACUUUGUCCCAGCGGUUAGACUAAGGAACCCUUCAUCAAUUAAAAUUAUGUCAUAAUUUUUAAUUUCAUAUGCGUUUUUUCUUAAAAGAUAUAUCAAUAAAAACUCUACUGUAUAUGGAUUUGCUUUUAACUAUUAUAUAUGUAAUGUAAUAUCUCUCACCAAAAUUAUGUAAAUAAAGCACAAUUCUUUUAUUCAACAAAAAAAAAACUUUUUUAAUUAAAAGUAUGUGUAAUAUAAUAGAAAUUAUACAAUAUUUAUAGUCACUUGAAUUAAUAGCCUAUAUAUAACAUGGGUAUAAAUCAUGUUACAUAGAAAAAAUAAAUAAUCCCUCAAAUUAACUAAUAAAAUAAUUCCGUUAGGCAAAAUUACACAAAUGGUCCUAUAACUUAUUUUUAGGUAACGUUUUCGUCCUCUAUCUUUUUUAUUUCCCAUUUUCAUCCUUUAUCUUUUUAAAAUGUUUCACCGUUACCCUUCUGUUAACCAUCUGUUAAAAAAAACUCUAUUCUAAUUACCUUUUUACCCUUUUAUAAUUACUCUCUUUUUCUUUGUUAUUUUCAGAAACGCGUUCACACACAGAGAACAUAAACGCGAUUGAGAAGAAGGAAAAUAGAAGAUGAAAACCUAGAACACUAAGCUUGAUGAUGUGAUUCGAAAAACCAGGAAAAUGCUACUAUUCGAUUUGAAAAGUUCUGUGAUUUGAAACGGCACAGAGUUCUGCGAUUUGAAGUUGCAAUUUCAAAAACCUAGAAACCCUAAUUGAUUUUGAUUCUGCGAUUUGAAGGUAUGUAUCUGCAAUUUAAUGAAUUUAUUUGUUUUUCCGAAUCAUUAUGUGUUUCUAAUGUUGCUUUGAUUCAUGAACAUGCUAAAAACCCUCUCUAUAUUUCUUGUUCUUUGUAGCAAACCACUCUGUUAUAUUUCUUGUUCUGUUUCUAUCUAAAGCAUGCUGAAAAAAAAUACAUUUUGAUUAGUUUACUAUCUAUGUCAUGUUGUAUGUUUUUAUGUGUUUCUACUGUUGCUUUGGUUAUUUAUUUAUGCAUGUUGCAUAUGUGGUCCCUAUUUUUUGGUAGUGAUUUGUUGUGGUCCCUACCUAUAUGUUUAAUAGUUUUCCAUUGAUUAUGUUUUUGUCAUUAUUCAGAUGUCUACAAUAUCCGUUGAUAUUCAUCAUGGUGGCUAUUUUAUCGACCAAUCAAAGAAUGUGUACGAAGGUGAAGUGUCAAAUUGGAUUUGUGACACUGACUAUUGGUGUUUUUUUGAUAUUGAAGAAUAUGUUGGCAAAUUGGGGUACAAGGAUAACAUUAGCAUGUGGUAUGAGGUUGGUGGUGUUAAAAAGUGCCUAUAAGAUGAUACUGGAGCUAAUGAAAUGAGUGAUUGGGCCAAGGGUAAUGGAAAAGUGCAUUUGUUUCUAGUACAUUCAGUGUCACAGCCCAACUAUAUUAUCUAUAGUGAAGCCCAACCUGAAAUGCAUGAUGGAGACUCUGAUGAUAGUGCCUUGGAUGUGGGAUUUGGAGACUCGGAUGAUGAGCUGCUCAUUAAUGAUGGUUUUGGUGAUGUACAAACAGAAGUUGAUGUUCUUGGGGAAAUAACACCAACUAUUGAGGAUAAUGAGGAAAGAAGGAAAAGGUUAGGUGCUAAAAAGAGGAAGGGGGCAGAAAAUGAAGGAAAUUCAAGUAAAAAAAAGAAGGCCCCAACUGGUAAGAAAAGAGGGAGACCUAAGAAGACCAUAGUUGAGAAAGAUCUAAACGUGGAACUAAGUGUAGAGCCAAAUAUUUUAAUUGAUGAUGAUGAUUUCAAUUGGGGUACAACGAAAAGGCAAGAGCUUGUGAUGCCACAUAGAGGGUUGUCUGACGAUGAGUAUGUGUCUGAAGAGUUAGUUAGUGAUGAAUCGGGAGAGAAUAGUGACGAGGAAAGUACUAAAAAGAAGUUUUCAGGUUUUGUCAUGCCAAAAAAUAUGCUCGACUACAAGUGGGUCUUGGGUACACUUUUCUCAGACAGAGAGGAAUUUAAGGCUGCAAUUGCAACUUAUGCUGUUCAUAAUGGGAUCGAUGUGAAGAUGAUCAAGAAUGAUAAAAUAAGAGUGAGGGUUGUAUGCAAGGACCCGUGUCAGUGGAUGGCUUAUUGUGCUAAACUUCCCGAUGAAGAUACAUGGCAAUUGAGGAAAUUGUAUGACAAACAUUCUUGUCCCAAGGAUUAUAAAGUCUCAUUAAUGAAAUCAAGUUGGCUGGGGAAAAGAUUAGAGUCAACAGUGAGGGAGACUCCUAAUAUUACACUGACAUCUAUUUCAAACAAAGCACAUCAAAAGUGGAAUGUUGGAGUGAGUAAGAUGAAAGCUUAUAGGGCUCGUAGGGUUGCAAUUGAUUUGGUUGAUGGAUCAUUUAGAGAACAAUAUCUUAGAUUGUAUGAUUACUCUCAUGAACUAAUGAGAUCUAAUCCACUAAGUACUGUCAAGGUGCAAAUUCAACCUACAAUGGUAGAAGAUAGACGGGAGAACAAUGAGGAAAUUUAUGUGGAUAGACCCUUGCUGCCAAGUUUCCAACGCCUAUACAUGUGUCUUAAUGGCUGUAAAGAGAGUUUCAAAGUGUGCAGGCCUAUUAUUGGCCUUGAUGGUUGUUUUCUUAAAGGUUAUUAUGGAGGUCAAAUACUUGCUGCUGUGGGUAGAGACCCAAAUGACCAAAUGCUCCCAAUUGCUGUGGCUGUUGUUGAAAGUGAAACAAAAGAUUCAUGGGAUUGGUUCCUUAAACUGCUAGUUGACAAUUUGGGUGGUCCAGAAGCAUGUAAUUCGUACACAUUCAUAUCUGAUCAACAAAAGGUUAGUUUCAAUAUCAUAAUUAUUUCUAAUUGAUUAUAAUAUUCAUAGUUGAUUAUGCAUAUAGACUAUAAUAUGAAUAACUUAUUAUACAUAUUGAUUAUUUGGUUUAAGGGACUUUUACCUGCCAUGGAGGCGAUUCUUCCUGAUGUUGAACAAAGGUUUUGUGUAAGACAAUUGUAUAAUAAUUUUAGAAAAAAGCAUCCGGGUAAGAAACUCAAGGAGUUAAUGUGGAAGGCAGCCAAGGCUACAUAUUUUCAAGCAUGGGAGAGGGAGAUGAAAGAAAUAAGGAAGGUUAGUGAAGAAGCUUAUAAAUAUUUGCUGAAGAUUCCACAAAAGCAUUGGUCGAAAUCAAGAUUUUCAUUCAAUUCAAAGUGUGAUGUAUUAGUCAACAAUAUGUCAGAAACCUUCAAUAGUGUAAUAAUUGGACCCAGGGGAAAGCCAAUUGUUACAAUGUUUGAAGACAUCAGAGGCUAUUUUAUGGAAAGGUGGGCAACAAACAGAACUAAGAUACAAGCAUAUGAUGGCUCUGUUUUGCCUAACAUAAAGAAAAAACUGCAGAAAGAGUGUGAGUUAUCAAAGAAUUGGGGAUGCAGGUAUGCUUUUGUCAUAUUCUAACUUUGUAAAUGAAUAUGUAUCUAAUAUGGUUCAGUUUUUCUAAAUGUAUGUUUCUGCUAAGUGCUUUUGCUUUUUGGUUUGUCUAAAUGCUAAGUGUUUUUCUACUAUAAUAAUAUCAUGAUUUCUUGCCUUCUGUUAUGAGUUUUUCUAAAUGUCGUAAUAUGGUUCAGUUUUAGACUUUUAACUAGUGUAUAUAUAUAUAUGCUUAUGUUUGACAAGGUUUUCGGCUGAGAAUAUCUAUGGGGUGUAUGCCCUCAAUCACACAGGAGAGUCCUUUACAGUAAGUCUGGAAAAGAAAGAAUGUUCUUGCAGGAAAUGGAUGCUUACUGGAAUACCUUGUUGUCACGCAGUAGCAAGCUGCAUAUUUGCCAAACAAGAUCCGGAAAACUUGAUUCCUGAUUGUUACAGAGUAGAGAAAUAUGAGGCUUGUUACCGUCCUAUCAUUUAUCCACCAAAUGGAAAGAACCUGUGGGUUUCAACUCCAUAUUCAGAUAUAUUACCACCCCCUUUAAGGAAACUUCCUGGAAGACCGAAAAGGAAAAGGAACAAAGAUGGUGAUGAGAAAGCGAGAGAUUCUUCACUUGUUAGUAGAAAAGGAAUGCCCGCUAGAUGUUCUACAUGCAAACAACCUGGUCAUAACAAAACUUCUUGUAAAGGGCCCUCAAUUCCAACUGUAACAAAUCAGACUCAAAACGCACCUAAUCAGAGCCAAACUGCACAACCUGCGCCUGGUGUUGGUCAGAAUGCAACACAGACCCAAACUGUUGCUACAUCUCAGAAAAAGCCUAGAGGAAGACCUCGAAAAGUAAAUGUUGCUGCAAGUACUCAGCCUGUUACUAGUAGUAUCUCUGCAACAUCAAAUAUGGUAACAAAUAUAUCUGGUGCAAAUUCUCAACCUACUGCAAGCUCAAGAUAUUCAACAACAACUCACUUUGCUAGACAAAAGAUGAAAAUAUGGAGGCCAUGAUAUUUGAUGACAGUUUGUUUAAUGUAUUUUUUGGGCAACUUUUGUGAUGUCUUACUUUGGAACCUAAUGUCUUUUUGUAUGCAGCUCUUGUACUGCCUUUAUGUUGGAAUUUUAUUACUUUCAAACCUUAUGUCGUUUUGUAAGCAGCUUGUACUGCCUUUAAGUUAGAAUUUGUGGCAGUAUGUAUUUAUGCAGUUAAUUAGUUAUGACUGAUUUUGUAACAAUGACAAAAGUUGCAUUAUGUUAUUAUGGGAGAAGUUAUUAUAACAAAAGUUAAUUACUAUUGAUACCAAUUGAUAUUAUUGCGUAUGAACCUAUUAAUUGAAACUACAUGACACCAAUUAUUUGACACAAAUUGGUAGAGGAAAUUAUUAUGGCAGCUGGGUUUUGUUUUUUGGUCUUGGUUUGGCCAUUUGUAAUUGCUUAUGUUCUGUCCGUAUCCGUCCAUGGCUUGUUAGUGCUUCUCGCACGGGCUAGUGGCUAAUAAUAUUUUGCCGAUUAAAAAAAAAAAAACUCUUGCAAAAUCAAAUGAGAUCAAGUCACCAAUUUGUUGACACUAACUCAUUCAGUCGGACUACAUCAAUACAUAAUUGUUGAGUACAUUCAUCGAGUACAUUCAAUACAUAAUUUCUUAACAAUCGAACAACCUUAUUUGAUCAACUUAAACAUAAAAGUUACACCAAAUAAAAGAUGAUAAUCAAAAUCUUCAUCCAACUUUUUGUUGAGUUGUGGUCCAUUUGCAUCUUCAGGAUAACAUUCUUAAGUGUCCUUGAUUCCAAUUCCAUUUGCAUCCAGAAUUAAUGUUACUAGCCUACAAUUUAUGAAGAAAAAAAAAACCAUUAAAAUUAAGGCAAAAUUAACUAGUGAUAACAGAUCUGAAAAGGAUUAGCAAGAGAGAACAAGGUAUGUAUGUAAUAAUAUGUAUGAAUACUCACCACAAAGUUCCUACAACCCCAAAAUUUACUUCCUCUAUUAGGACCCAUUUUCGUCACUGUUCUAAUAACAUGUAGCAUCUUACAGAAACAUUCUCGCGUGAACAGGUUGCGUCCCCCAGAAAUGAAAGAACCGAAAAAUGAUUGUGUGUGUGAACCUUGUGUGCGUAAGGAUGCCAUGAAUUUUGAGAUUUGAUUUUUUAGGGUUCUUGCAGGUUGAAGGGUGAUUGAGAAGAAGCUUGUGUGAACAUUGGAGAAGAUGAACAUAACGUUAAAUUUUUUUUUUAACAGACUAGUUAACAGAUUCCACUUAAAGGAUUGUUGUGCAACAUUUUAAAAAGAUAAAGGAUGAAAAUGGGAAAAAAAAAAGAUAAAGGACGAAAACGUUACCUAAAAAUAAGUUAUGGGACCAUUUCUGUAAUUUUGCCAUUCCGUUAAUAAUUCUUUUAUCUCAAUUGUGUUUGGUUUUGGCUAUGAAGCACGGACACUUCUCAGAUUAGCCGUGUUUCGGUGUUGUUGGUGUCGUAUCCGACACCAGCACAUAUAAAUAUAUUGACUUAUGUGAUUUUUUCAAAUUAUUAGCGGUGUUGGCGUGUCAGUUUAUGUGUUUCAUAGGGUAUUUGGGAUAGUUGAUCUUGGAUUUGUAGAGCUGUUGGUGCUUUCCUUUGUCUUUUAUAACGUUAUUUGGUUUGUUUUGUUGUAUUGGUCUGUUAUGCUGAUUUGGCCAGUCAAAUUGGGUGUGCUGCAUGGUAUCAAGGAAGUUAGUAGUGACUUCAGUUUUCACAAGUAUUGGGUGUGUCUUUGUAUAAGUACUCAUGUAUUAUCUUUCUUUUUUUGGCUGUGCCAUUUUAAUGAAUUAUCUUUGUUUGGAUUUUAAAAAAGAUGAAAAAAAUAUUAAUAUAUGUGUCGGUGUCGUUAAGGUUUGGCUUUUAAAAAAGAUAAAAAAAAUAUUAACAUAUGUGUCAGUGUCGUUAAGGUAAAUGUUAAGUACCUCAAUGUGAAGAUUUUAUUGUGUCAAUUUAUUUAUUUAACAUAAAAGUUGAAAAUUAAUUUACCUCAAUGAGUACUUUACACUAUAUGCAAUCUUUCACAUAUAUUCUCUCUGUUUCAUAUUAUUAUGUGUUAUUUACUAAAACACAUUAUUAAUUAUAGUUAGUGGAGUACUUAAAAAUGAUUGAAAUGCAAUAAAUAAGAGUAUGUUAGUGAAAAAAAUUAUUUUAUUGAUAUCGUAAAAGGGACAAUAAACUUUAAAACGAAAAAAAAAUGUAAAAACUGACAUCUAAUUUGAAACAAAGGAAGGGAGUACAUUUAUAUCACAUGUUAGCGUGACUCAUUAACAAUUAGUAUAAGAUAAAAAACACAUAGUGAAGUAGUUAAGUUGGAUGAAAUUCAAUAAAUAAGGAUAUAAUGGUGGAAAAAAUAAUAAUAAAUGUUGCAUUGAUAUUGUAAAGUAACAAUUAUUUUGAAAAAAACAAAAAAUGAUACGGAGACAAUAAUUAUGAGACGGAGAGAGUAACAAAUCUUAUCGCAGCAACUCUCCAUUUUGGGGAGAAUUUUAGUAGUAAAAUACGCAGGUUUAAAUAUUUGGAAUUCUAUUUUUCAUCAAAUUCCAUGUGUGCUCUACAUAGAGAUUACUAAUUAAUUUUGAAGCAAAACAAAUAUUUAUUUAUGGAUGGUUUAUAGUUUUUAAAUAGCUUUUAUUCAUUAAAGUUUAUGGAUGGUUUACCAUCUUUAUAUAAGUAAGCUGAUAUAUAAUUUGAUUUGUCCUUUAUGUUUGCUUUCAGGCACAAUUGCCUUAAGAUAAGACAAGAUGGAUGUAAAAUAAAAUUAUUUUGAAGUAAGAUGGAUGUAAUACUGUAAACCAUGGCUACCACUAGAGUUAGUUGAGGUUUCAUGUUGAUUUUUCAAAUUUUUAGAACUCAAUAACUUGAUAAAACAACAAUUAUAUAUCACAAUUCUGAAGCUGAAGUCAUUACAAGGAUGAAGAAUAUUGUGCAGGCUAUUCCUGAGUAGCCUUAUGCCAAAAAGUGAUCACUCAUUAGGGUCGAUGGAUUUUUCAGAGAGAUACUAAUUAAUUACAUAUUGUCCUUAGUGUAACUUUUCUAAUUCUUAUGCUUUGGACUUUGGUCAAUGGGGUAUAGAACUUUAUAUUUUAGGGAUUACAAGAGAAAUGAUCCAAAUUCGAACAUUAAUGAUUUUUUUUUGAUAAAAACAACACGAUAUUCAUUCAUUCAAAUCGAUAGAGUACAUCAGAUACAAACAUCGCUAAAAACGUAAACGGUGAAUAUGCGAACAAACUCACAGCACCCAAGUUAAUAGCAUACAACGGCAAAAUGUCUACAAAUAAUAUCGAACAUUAAUGAUAUAGUCAUGUAGUCUUGUGUUAAAAAUACUAACGAGGACAAUCUUUGAACACCCUUUAUGUACUAUUAUACAAUAAAAAUUGAAACAUUUGACAUUUUAUAAAAAUAAUUAUUUAAUUAGAUAUUCUUAAAAAGUGGUUCCAAAACACUCAUUAACAAGACCUUGACAUAAUUGGUUAAUAUUCUUGGCUACAUUAUAUAAACUUGAAUCAAAAUAAUAGCAGGUUAUUAAAAUGCACAACACACCGUAUGUAGACAGAUAAAUAAACAAAGGGUUAUGUUAACCAGUGCCUUAGGACACUAGUUUUUUUUUCUUGAGCAAAAGUAAAUAAUAUAAAAUAAAAAGAACGAGAUACAAAGAUUGAGGGACAUUAAACAUGACCCAGUAUUAACCCAAACGGGAAACAUCGUGUUAAAACAAACCAAGCGGACCCACCCUAAUCUAUUCUAACACAAAUUCACUAAUCAUAGACGCUGCCUAGCGAAUCCGCAUAUGGGUGCGAAACCAAGUUAAAAAAAAUAUGAAGAGUGAAAAUGUGCAAGCAAACAUGGUGAAUGAAUCGACCGUUAACACGGUAACAAAUCCAAGUGUCAGCUCCCUUAACAAAGCAGCAAACAGUAAGCUCUUUCGACGGAACCUAAAAAUAGUAAAUUUACAUUGAAUUCAACAAUCUUUAAACUUUUAAAAUGUUAAAUCAAUCACUUUUCACUAUUUCCCAAUACAUCAUUUAUAAAUUUGUUCUCUUAACCAAUGUCUUGAGGGCAAUCCUUAAUAUUUUCCAUAAACAAAAAAUGUUGUGAUCAACUACUCCGCCGGUCAAUAAUUUAUAAGUUUUACUUAAAGAAAGAUAGUUUCCAAUGUGUAAAAAAAAAUUCAAUGCAUUGUUUUUAAGUAAAUUUUUCUCUUUAGUUUUUUUUAACAAGUGUCAUUAGUGGUAGCACUUCCUUAUGAAACAAGAUAUGGAUGUAAUGCAAAAUUUAGAGUACAUGUAAACAUUGCUUCAACAGGAAAUCAGGGAUAAGACCAUAUCAGUUCUAUGUUACUAUGGCCAAUGAAUGCAGUGGUUUUCACAAAGUUGGAUUCGUAAAAAAGGAUUUGUAUAACCAAGUUGGUAAGCAACGUAAACAACUUUAUUUUGAUGUAAGUGAUGCGGUGAAGUAUCUUAAAGAUCUGAGCUUGAAAGACCCACUUAUGUUUGUGACACACACCCUUGAUAAGGAUAAAAGGCUUGAGAGAUUGUUUUGGAGCGAUGGGGAAAGUCAAAUGAACUAUGAGAUAUUUGGAGAUGUCAUUGCCUUUGAUGUAACGUAUCGAAAAAACAAGUAUAAUUGUCCGUUUGUUAUUUUUUCAAGUGUUAACCACCAUAAUCAUAUGAUUGUUUUUGGUGCUGGUAUCGUAACACGGGAGACCAAAGAGACGUACGUGUGGUUGUUGGAACAGUUCUUAAGUGCAAUGAAAGGGAAGCAUCUGUUAUCUGUAAUCACUGAUGGAGACCUUGCAAUGAGAAAUGCUAUCAAGAAAGUAUUCCCCAACGCUUAUCACCGACUGUGUGCGUGACAUUUGUUGCAGAAUGCAUCGUCCAAUAUUGAAAUUCCAGUAGUAAUGUCUUAUCUGAAAAAAUGCAUGUUGGGUGACCUUGAGAUCAGUGCGUUUGAAGAGUUAUGGGUUGAGAUGGUUGAAAAGUUUGGUUUACAAGACAACAGUUGGAUCAAUGAGAUGUAUGAAAAAAAAAAAGAAAAUGUGGGGAACCACUCACAUUAGGGGGUGUUUCUUCGCCGGGUAUCCGAACGACCUCUCGUUGUGAGGCGCUCCAUAGCCACAUGGGACAUUUUGUGCAUUCUCGUAUUAGCAUGGCUGACUUUGUUCAACAAUUCCAUAGGUGUCUUACCUAUUUUCGGUUUAGGAAAAUUGAAUCUGAUUUCCAUUCCAACUAUGGUCAACUAGUUUUGCAAACCGGUCUACAGUCUAUAGAGAGAUCAGCAGCAAAGCUAUUUACGAAGGAGAUAUUUUUCAUGUUUAGGUCAGUUCUAAAGAAGGCACUUCUUAUAAGAAUAACUGAAUGUCAAGAAAUGGCUACAAGGUGCAUUUUUAAAGUUUCAAAAUACCAUGGUGAUGGAAGCGAAUGGCACGUUACCAUUUGCGAAGAAUCGGUUGACCUCAAAUGUUGUUUGCGAAUGGAGUCACUUGGAUUUCCAUGUUGUCAUAUCAUAGUUGUGAUGUUGUAUCUUGAUUUUGACGAGCUUCCAAGUAGUUGGUUUUGCCUAAGUGGUCGAAAUUUGCAAAAGAUUUAAUUCGGGACAAAUAUUGUAGUGGUUCUCUGUACUGGGAUUCACAGUCUGCUGCCAGAUAUUCCGGUAUAGUCAAGAUGUGCAAAGUUGUUGCCGGUUUGGUUUAUGAAGAUCUUGACGAGUAUCAGCAUUUUGUUGAAAGUUUGGGUGCAGAACUCCGGAGAUUGAAAAUAAAGAACAAAGUUGACACAACAUAAAUGUCUCCAGUUUUACAACCUGAGAAUGAGGAUAAUGAAGUCCUUGAUCCCGAUAUUGUUAGAACAAAAGGUUGUGGUUCAAUUUCAACAGGCAGGCGCAAACGGACGCAAACUUGCAGUCUUUGUGGUGUAGCGGGCCAUAAUAAGCGAUGUUGUCCACAUCUCACUUUAAAUAUUGGUGGUCAUACCCUUUCCCCAAUCAACAGUGAAGAAGAGACCGAAGAAGAUGUGAACUACAACUACAACAGUCAGACGGUAUGUAUCUAAUUCGUAGAUUUCUAUUUAUAUUAUUUCUUUACUAUGUUGUUAAUUUUGCUCAAACUUUGACAUUGGGGCAUACAUUAAACAACUCCAGUGUCUUUCGUUGUAGGAUAUUGGCACACAAGACUGAAUGCAUUGUUAGUAUGAGUAAGAGUCGUUUCUGGAAUGUGUUGUGCAAGGGUUGAUGUGGUUAAUUUCAUGUGUUAAGUAUAAUUUGUGUUUUUGUAAUGUGCGCUACUAUGUAUGUUUUAUGAAUUCAGGGGCUUUUAUGAGUAUCCCGUAAGUGUAAUAAUAUUGCCUAAUGCACACUAAUGUUGUUGCUACUACUAGUUUCUAUUGAGACAAGUUUGUAAUAAUAUGAAUUGUGUGAACCUUAUGUGGAAUAUUUUGAUGUAUUGCUGCUUACAUGAGUAUAGCAUUUUCGUUUGGAAUAUUUUUUGAUUGAUGCUGUAACGUAACAAAUGAGAUGUUUGUGGACUACCAUUUGAUGUUCUUGUGGUCUAACAAUAUAUGUGUUAUACCAAUGUGUGUGUCACUGUCUGUGGACAUUGUCACAUAACAUGGUUUCUGAUAAUCCAGUGGUUGUAUUAUGCAGUUAGGAUAGAUUAGUUGUUUGUGUUAGAUGAAUGUGUUUAAGUGCCUGGGAAUUGAAGGAGUCACAUGAUUUCGUUGUUUUGCAUUAUUUCGCAUGGUUCAACGAUUGUAUUAUGCUUUUGCGAUAGCUUUGUUGCCUGUGUUAGACCAAUGUUAGUGUUACUAUCUGGGAAUUGACGGUGUCACUAAAUAUUGUAAUACUUGGUUCCUUCUCAUGGUCAAGUAACCUUAUUACGCAUAUAGGAUAUAUUGCAUGCUAAAUUGAACUAAACUGCAGAAGAACCCUUAUGUGAUGCUAUUGAGUAUUCCAUGCUGAACAUCCCUAUUAGUCAAAUAUUGAUUUGCAAAUAUGUUUCUUGAUUUAAGUGUAUAAUCGAUAUUAAAAUUUAUAGUCAAAUUUAAUAAACUAGAGGUUUAUCUGUUUAAAUAUAAAAAAUGUUGUGAUAUUUUGUAUAUGAAUAAAUUGUUUAUGUGUAAGGUAAUGUCGCAUUAGGUAUUGUAUUAUGCAUUUGCUGGUGGAUAUUAAAACAUCAUCAAUUAACACAUUAAACAUUAAUCCUUACGACAAUAACAUUUAGGGGUACAUAGAGAGUAAUACAAAUAACUAUAUACACCAACAUGGCCUAUUAGGUAUGCGAUGAAGACAAGCAACAUGUGAGGUCUGCAUAUAAACAGACAACAUCAGAAGCCCAUACAUAAACCAUUAAAAAACAUAAGGAAGCCAAAUUCUAAAGAACCAUAAGCCUAUAACCCACACCUAAUCAAACCACAAAAUAAAACCCAUAAACGUAGUUUUUCCAGCAACAAAGCCACUACAGUUAUCCAGCAAUAAAGAAAUAAUGCUAAACAAUGACAUAAUAGUACACAAUCUUAGAAAAACAAAAUAAAUACGCCCCUUUUUUUCCAAACGACACCUCCUAACCAACACAUACAAGGGCACUUCACUUCCUUGUCUCGUAAGCACGCUUAGCCAUUAAAUUGUUCCAAUGUUUCCUUGCAUUUGACUGAAUGCUCUCCUUCUACUCAUUGUGGGGAUCAAGCAAAAGACGAAGCGCAAUUCUCAUCCUCACAUGUUCAUCAAUCAUCUUUUUUUUGAAUAGAAACAACAAACAAUUAGUCUACCUUGCUACCAACAUAAUGUAUAUUAUAUAUUGCUUAUCAAGACUCAUGAUGUACACAACUUACCACUCCCACUAUCUGAUUGUUGAAGCUUCCCUGCAUAUUCAGCCACUCUAUCACCUAAAUGCCAAUGUUUUCGCUGCAUUUUAGUCGAGACCAUUGCUAUUAGUUACUAAGUUUAGGUAGGUCAUAACUAAUUUAUGUAACCAUGGAUGUUCAAUCAACGUAGAUCUGAUAAGGAUUUACCUAGUCCCGCAAUUGGGCACACCACGAGUCUCUUCAAUGUUCCAGUCUUCAAAAUCCGGGAAAGCACAAAAAGGCACGUCCGAAUGAUAAAUACUCAACAUCAUUUAAGAAAUCACGCCAGCCUAAAACAAAAUGGUCGAAGGUCAUCAAGGAAUAGCACGCAUAAAAAAUGUUAUAUUUGGUAAUAAUACUUACCACUUUCUUAAUUUGUUGAUACUUUCUGUAGUAAUACAAAGGCAGUAUAGUUAUAAUUUAGUGAGUUAGUAUAUACUUAUGUAAUAGUUGGUUUGCAUCUAAAUUUAAAGCCAUAUUAUAUAUAGGAUGUGUAUAACAGUACUGAGCUUCCAACACAUGACUUAGGCACCAAGCACUGGAAAUCACUCCGAAUACCAAUGACUUGUCCCGUAGCAAAGACCAUAUCAUCACUUGAUGUUGCGCUAAAAACACACUUAGAGCAAGUGUACUCUAUCGCAGAAGUAGUAUAAAAGAUUAUCGUAUCCACAAGGAUUAAUUAACAAGUACCAAACUAAUUAAGAUUAAUUUAUUAUUUAGACGAACAAGUAAUAGAAUGGUUUCGGUAACUAAAGAAAAAGUAAUGACGAAGAAGGAUAAAAAUGCGAAGAUGUAAUCAAUAAAGAGAGGUCUAGGGUCGCGGUUUCACUUGCAAGUUUCGAUUCCCUAAUGUCUAGUUCUAAUCAAAUUCCUAUUUUUAUUCAAUCACCAAUCCCUUUACUAAAACUAUUAAUUUGUUUGGUCAUUCGUGAUUAAUAUUCUUUCUCCUAAGUUAACACUUUGUUUGGUCAUUCAAAGAGUUGAAACCAAGAAAAGCAUGAAGCGUGAAAAGGUUGAAUGAUUGGAAGACUACAAUUAAGAUUUGAUCAUGCAAUAAUUCUAAUCUCAAUUGUUCUAUAGGUCCACCAAUUAAUUGCAGUACGAUCGCUGAUCAAUUAACUGAUUGUUAACAUGCAAAGGUUUGAUCAUUCCUAAUCAUGUGAUUAAAUCAAUACAACAAAUUUGAUUGGAAUAGAAAUAGAAAUUAUAAUUAAUAAACUAGAACAUGACAAGGUAUCUCAACAUACAAGAUUCACCUAAGACCCUAGAGAAAUAUUCAGCUAUCCAUGAUCAAAAACAACACUAAAAUAGAGAUAGAAUUCAUGAAAUUAAGAACAAGAAAUAACCUAAAAGAAAGAAAAAAUUCUUGCUCCAAGACUUGAAUCUUCAAUUUCUAUCCCCAAAGCUCUUCUCUUUGUUGCAUGUAGUGUCUGUGUAAUGUCUGAAGUCUCCCUCUCUUGUUGAUUUGCAAUGCUUUAUAAAGACCUCUUGAAUUCAAUUUCACCGCCCCCAAAAUUACUUCACAAUCAGGUUUUCUUCUUACCAUCACCGUAAAAAUCCUUUUUCUUCUUUUUAUCUCAUGUGUCAGUACAACCAAAUUGUUUGUUUCAAAAAGGUAAGCAUUCACUUAAUCACUAAGGAUUAUCACCGCCCUUUGUCUCUCCUUACCGUAUAAAACAAAACAACUUUUUUUUGCUCUUCUUCAUUGCUCCGCCUCUGUUCCUUUUCUCUGCUCAUGUGAUGUAGUUUAGCUACUUGUAAGGAGACAUCUUAAUGUGCAGCCACUUGAUGGUAGAUGAAAAAUUCCUUUUGUCUUCCUUUUGAUUGAUGAUUCACGACUCCUACCCUUUUGUUCCAGCAGUGUUGAAUUUAUUUGGGCCAAUCUGUUGUUUUGCUCUAAAAAAAGAAAAUAAAAGGACGAUUAUGCCCAUGUCUGUGUGUACGUUGGUGAUGUGUAGAGAAAUGGUAUUUGAUGCCCUUCACAUAAACAUAUAAGUACACAUAUCUUUGGAUUCUUUUUUCCUACUUUCUUAUCUAUAUAAAUAUCUAUAUAGAAAAAUAAAAAAUAGAUGAGUAUCUAAUUAAUAAUACAAAAUGUAAUAAAAUAUACUUAAUAUGUUAAUAUAUUUUACACAAUUAUGUGGUUUAUCACUUGAACUACGAAAAAAAAUCAUAUUGAAAUAAUGUAAGCACAUUUGAAUAAAAAUAUAAAGCUUAUUUAUAAUAAUGAUACCAACCCCCAUUAAUUAAAAUCAUAUAGUUACUCACUAAUGCAUGUAUGUUCACAUUCUACUUACAAUAUAUUGCAUUCAUCCCUAAAUAUGUAAGCACACAUUAUGGCUUCUGCUCCACAUAGCCUCAUGGCUUCGGUUGGUCUAAAUGUGCAAUCCACAUACUACAAUAUACAAUGAAAACGAAAUAAAUAAACCUUGCAAAAAAUCAUAACAGUUUCAAAUUACUUUAAUGUACAUGAUCAUCAACAUAAAUAUUGAAAAGUUCACCUUUGGAAGUACUGAUUUGUUUGUCUUAAAUUUGUAACGCCUUGGUUUUGAGGAUGCUGGUUUUGACUGCAUGGGAGAUGUUGCCAAUGUUAGUUGAGGAGAUGGUAAACCAUAUCUGGUACCUCCCUGAAAAUCCAAAGUGGUGCUCAUUUGUCUUUUGUAAGACAUAUUGCCUGGUGGUGGAGUAAAAGACAGUUUUUUGGCUGCAGGGACAUCAUCAUUGAUGGUCAUCUGCAAACCAUGCAUCAAUGAGGUUAGAUACCACAACAUACAAUACAGAAAAUUUCAUAUGGCUAUUUAUUUCUGUUAUUAUUGAAUAAACUUCUAGUAUAUGAGUUACCUGAUGAUAAGAUCUUUUGAAGUUGCUAAUGUUAGCAUGGUUUUCAGGAUCAACCUCGUCCCAAUCAUACACCAUUUGUUCCUUACCCUUCUUGUUUGGAGAGUGAUUCCUUUUCUUAAAUUCAUUGUAGUUCAUGGUUCCAAACUGAAUAUUGGUAAUGGGGUCAACUUUGUCAUCAUCAAACAAUAUGACAGUGGAGAUACCCGUUAGGUUUGGUGAGGUUCCAGCCUUUGAGUUGUUUCUCUCCUGGACUUCAAAGUGAUAUCCUUUGUUUUCGGUUGGUGAGUUCAGCUCAAGUCUGACCAUCCCAACAUUUUCUUAUUGGUAGAUCCCAUUUCUCCAAUCUGAGUGGAUAUGCCCUUGAAAAAAAAGUAAUUUUUACUUAUAUUCAUUAAUCCAUAGUUGUAAAAAAAUGAUAUAAUCUCUAUGACACUUAUUUUUACCCUACAACUUGUACAUAGUGAAAAGUAUAAAAUAUUUUAGGGUUUGAAGGUUCAUUUAAUCAGUAGCUAAAAUUCAUUUUUAUACCUUAAGUUCGACUGUUACUUGAGUUAGCAAGGCUUCGUGUGAUGAAAUUUGUGUUGGGGGUGGUAUGGUCCUGUCGUCAACCGUAGUUUGGGAAGCAACCUGGUAGACAUGUGUUAUGACAUUAAUAUUUUUACCAUGAUAAAGUCAUCCAUUGCAUGUAAACAUACACAGAUAAAAUUGCAUAUACAGUAUUUCUUACAGGUGGUGCAGGAACUGGUUGUAUUGCUGGUCCCAUGAAAGAAGCAACACAAAACGCAUAAUUUAGUGCCUCCUCUUGUCUCCGGCUUCAAAGAUUAUUAUUUAACACAAAAUGUUAACACUUUCAUUAUGUAUGUAGAUGAUGUUGACAAAAUUUAAUCAACAAAAAAAAAUAAUUAAGAGUCUAAACGAUUUAGAUAUACCUCUCAUCCUCUUCAAGUUGAGCAAUGAAGUCCAUGGGGUACUGCUGAUUGUUUUUGAAAGCUAGUGUUUGUAUUUAGAAAUUUUUUAGAGUUGAAAGAUAGAAGUUGUUGUGUGAGUAAACAAUCUGCAUCAUGGUAUUUAUACUACCAGCACAAUACAACCACAUUAGUGGUCUCCUCAACUUUGAUAGUCUCUAUUUUAAUUUUUUUAAUCUUAAUGAUCCACUUUAAUAGUAAUUAAAAAUAUUUGGAAAUUAUUUUUUUGUUAAAUCGAAAUUGAAGGUGGGUUACAUCAAUUAAAUGCAACCAUGUCUACUACAAUGUUAAUAAGAGUUUUUCAUCAUUGCUCUUUACCAAAAUAUACAAAACCCUCAUUGUGAUAAGUAUAUUUAAUUACAAGAGUCUAUGUUUUCCAAUUUGCUACAGUUAGAGAUCAUGAUCAAACGGUUCUGGGUAGACUUUGGUACACGUGAUGUUAUGUAACGUUAGGAAUGGUGGUGGGCGAAAUUUCACACCCUAAACCCUUCCAUUUUUUGAUGGGACAACUUCCACUAAGAGAACCAAUUUUCUUCUCUUUACACCACACGUGUGUUGGCUAUUUAUGGUAGACAUGGGUAACAUUUUUUUUUUUUUUUUUUGAACUUCAAAUGCUAAUAUUAUAAGCAAAUAGCAGAUAAAAAAGAUGGCCAGUCCAAGGCAUAUAGGGCAUUCCCCACCCAUGAACGGUUACCACAAUGUUUUGCAGCCUGUGCCAAGACAUGAGCUGCUGAAUUACAAUUACGGUUCACAAAACUAACAGAACUACAUUCUACUAAAGAUAACAGGUUCUUACAAUCUAAAAUAAAAUGAUCAAUAGCAGCUAUGCUAUGCAAACCAUUCACACAGUCCACCACCAGCUUUGCAUCCAUUUCAAAAAUUACCUUCUCAAGAGCCAAGGCUUUUGCUUCUUGAAUACACCAUCUCAGUCCCAAAACUUCUGCUGUUACGGCAUCCCCACUCAAAGUAGUCUUUUGUGUUGCUGCAUACACCACUUCAGCUGAUGCGUUUCUGAUCACGAGUCCCCAAACAAAUGUGCCAUCUUGGGAUAUACCGGCAUCAAUAUUAGCCUUCAUCCACUCUACGGGGGGAGGAACCCACUCUGCCCUGCUGUCAACAGCAACAGGCACAGUUGACCGCCUGCUCAGGCCACUUAAUUCUUGCACACACUCAUGUGCAUCAUACGCCACAAUCAGAGGAUCAAAAACAACAUUUUCAAAGACUUUUUUGUUUCUAAAAAACCAGAUUUUCCACAAGGUGAUGCAAAACAGUUGAACACCAGUGACAUCAGAACAAGAAAGCCAAUCAUGUAACCAUUUGUUUAUAUCAUCUAUCAACGGAACACGAAUGCCUAGAGGGGAAACAAACCAAACCUGCAAGACUAGAGGGCAAUGCAUGAAGAUGUGGGAAUCCUCCUCCCUCUCUUCGAAACACAAAGGGCACACUGUAUCAACCUCCAACCGUCUCUUGAGAAGAUUGCAUCUAGUUGGUAAAAUCCUCUUUGAAAGGCGCCAAAGAAAAUUGCGAACUUUGUUGGGAACGGGAGCCUUCCAUAUCUUACGCCAUAAAUUACCUUGGGAAGAGGAUGCUUCAGGUUGAUGAAGAAUUCUUUGAGUUGUUUGCAUAUGAUAAGCUGAGCGGACCGAGAACAUACCAUCUUUUUCACUAUGCCAAAGUUGUUUAUCAUCCGGAAGGCUCCAAGGGAGAGAAAUGCUAAGAAUCUGUUGCGCUUCGAAACUAUUGAAAAUCUGAUUGAUCAAAACCGGCUUCCACUGCUUUAAGUCCACAUCUAUUAACUCACUUACUAACGUAUCAGCCCCCAAAAUAGAGACUGGGCUGCAAACUUUGAAACCAGCUUGAUUUGGUAGCCAGUUAUCUCCCCAAAUUUUGAUCUUCUGCCCAUUCCCCACCCUCCACCGCAUGCCUUGUUGAACGAGAGAUCUGGAUGACAAGAUACUUCUCCAUGCGUAGCUGGGCUGAAAACCCGAAGUAGCAUCCAGAAGAGACCCCCUAGGGUAAUACCUGCUCUUAAAAAUCUUCCCCAUUAGAGAAUUCUCAUCAGUUAACAGACGCCAACAUUGUUUACCGAGAAGGGCUUUGUUGAACUCGCAAAAACCUCUAAAUCCCAUUCCACCUUUGGACUUAGAAACUGACAUCUUCUCCCAACUCAACCAAUGCAUCUUUUUUGUCCCUUCCCCCGAGCCCCACUAGAACCGGGCUAUCAAAUUCUCAAUGUCCUUGCAGCAUCCGUCCGGAAUUUUGAAACAACUCAUAACAUAGUUCGGAAUAGCUUGGGCCACUGCUUUAAUUAAAACCUCCUUUCCCGCUCUAGAUAAGCACUUCUCUUUCCAUCCCUUCAAUUUCUUCCAAACACGGUCCUUCACGAAGGAGAAGAUAACCUUUUUUGACCUCCCGAAAACAACAGGAAGACCAAGGUAUCUAUUCUGAGAGUCCACAGUCUUUGCUCCCAUCAUGUUACUGAUUAUAUGCCUCUCGGCUUCAAGCACAUUUCGACUAAAGGUGGCUUCAGAUUUGUCCAUGUUCACAACUUGACCAGAAGACUUUUGAUAGAUGUCAAGAAUAUUCAAAAUGGAUGUUGCUUCCCCUUGACUAGCUCGGGCAAAAAGGAGGCUAUCAUCUGCAAAUUGGAGAUGCGAUAUAUGAGGCGCGCUUCUAGCAACUUUCAGCCCAUGAAUUUGUUUCCCGUUAACCGCUUUGUGAAGAAGACCAGAAAACACGUUAGCGCAUAAAAUGAAUAAAUAAGGAGAUAUUGGGUCACCUUGACGAAGGCCUCGCUCCGGGGUAAAAGACCUACUAGGCUUGCCGUUGAUUAGGAUUUGGUACGAUACUGUUGAGAUACACUUCAUGAUGGUUGUACACAACUUUGCCGGAAAUCCCAUGGAUGAGAUGACCAUAUGGACGAAAGGCCAUUCUAUCCUAUCGUACGCUUUUGACAUGUCUAAUUUCAGCCCCAUCAUACCCUUUUUCCCUUUCCUCUUUUUCUUUAACCAAUGAAAACACUCCAUAGCAAUCAACCCGUUAUCAGUUAUCAAGCGGCCUUGGACAAAACCACUUUGCUCUUCAUCAAUAAUCUUUGGGAGAAUCACCUUAAUGCGAUUUGCUAUUGUCUUGGUGACUAUCUUCAUUACCACAUUGCACAAACUGAUUGGACGAUAGUCUUUCGGCGUCUUUGGGGUUUUUCCUUUGGGAAUUAGAACAAUGAAAGUCUUGUUGAUUGGCUCGGGUGAGAGAUCAUCAUUAAGUAUGCCCAAAACCAGCUUCUGGACAUCACCACGAACAAUGUGCCAAUACUUUUGAUAAAAGAGUGCCGGUAAACCAUCAGGACCUGGUGCUUUAAGUGGAUGCAUUUGUUUGAUCGCAGCUUCAACUUCUUCGCUUGUAAACAUGUCACUGCACCAAAUCUUAUGUUCUUCUGAGAGUCUAUCUUUAACCACUUCACAAGUCUGCUCUAAAUUUAUAGGGUCUGAAGAAACAAAAAGCUCGGAGAAAUAAUUCACAAGCAGGCUCUCUACUCUUUCUUCCCCUUUCCACCACACCCCUUGAUCAUCUCGGAUACUCAAGAUUUCGUUAACCUUCCUUCUUUGAUUGGCUUUAGCAUGGAAAAACUUUGUAUUACGAUCCCCCUCUUUCAACCAAACUGCUCUACUCCGUUGACGCCAUAAAGAUUCUUGGAUUUGAAGAAGUUCCCCAUACCUGCUAUUUAGUUCUUUGUAUCUUCUAUUGUCCUCUGAGCUCCCUGACCACAAAGAGGUAUCCUUAAGGAGAUUCUCAUGCUGAAUGAGAUCUUUUAUAACUUCUCUCACCCUAUACUCUUUGAAAUUUGCAUCUAGUUCCUGCAUAGAUAUGACCUUAUUUUCCCACAUCGAUGAAGAAUAAGACCAUUUGCUUCUGAUGAGCUCUUCGCAUCUCGGAUCCUUGGCCCAACAGUCUUCAAAACGAAACAAGUGAGGUCUGCGUCUAUUGUUUGGUUCCUCGUUAAUAUCCAAUUGGACCCUAACGGCAGCAUGAUCUGAUCCGUACCGAGGCAAAUGCGUGACUCUGAAGGGUGCAAAACGGUUCAAAAAGGCUUCAUUCCCGAGUGCUCUAUCCAACCGGCAUUGGAUGUUCUCAUCAUCACUUCUCCCAUUAGACCAAGUAAAUGGGUAACCUUCAAACCCCAUAUCAGACAAACCAAAGUCUUGCAACACAUUUCUACCUAGAGACAGUUGAGAUGAAGUUCUAGGAUUACCUCCAAUUUUUUCUUCCGUAGAAACAGUAUCAUUCAAAUCACCAAAAAUCACCCACUUGCUAUCUGAAGGAGGGGAAAGUUGGCGAAUUAAAUCCCAAGUCCUCCACUUGUCUGCCUCCAACGGAAAACCAUAGAUACCAGAAAAGAACCACCUCAUCCCAUCUUCACCAUCUUCAGAGGAACCCAUAAUAUGAUUUAGAGAAAAAGAGACAAUAGAGACAUCAACUUGGUCAAGCCAAAACAAAGCUAGACCUCCUGAUCUUUCCCUGCCGGUGCCAAUGCAAUCUACAAAAACACCAGAAUUAAAAUUACAUUUAUGUUUAAUUCUUUCCAUAUCGCCAGCUUUUAACUUAGUCUCCAUCAGGAAAACUAAGUGGGGAUUUUCCAAACGAAUGAGCCUUAACAAGGCUCGAACUGCCCGAGGGUUCCCCAGCCCCCUGCAGUUCCAACUGAGUAUUUUCAUUGGAUUAGGCGGUGUUGGUCAUCCAACACCACCUCUUGAUUUUGUGAACUGUUUUCAUCCCCCUUGUUCCUCUUUUUUUUCUCACCCACACAAAGCUCCAUAGGGUCCACCUCUGUGAUAUUCACAUCCACCAAAUGUCGCUUCCCUAACUCCGCCACUAGAGCCUCUUGUUGUUUCUUCCCUUUCCUUGGAUUUUGUUUGCGAAUUCAAGUCCGGCCUUUUUUAGGUCCCGUCUUUGCCAUUGGUUUUGUGUGAGAUCCCAAAUCAAAAGUUGGGGCUUUGUCUUUUGAUAGCACCACAUUACCAAGAGACUCCGCCACACUUUCCACCUCAUGUUGUGUCUUUUCUAACUCUGCCCGCUCCAUCUCCUUGCCUUGUACUUGUAACUGUUCCACUUCCACCUCCCUCUCCCCACUACGGAUUGGAGUUCCUCUACUAUUGCUGGAAUCGGAAAACAAACUGCGAGUGCAAGAGCUUGAACUCUGCUCUGUUUUUAUUUCUCCCGUAAUUCUUGGCAAAGGUGACGCCCUCAUCCAAAGACCAAAAGGAAGAUCUUUCUCUUCAAUGUCAUCAAAAUCCACAUCCUCGUGCCCUUCCCUUUCAUCGCAGUCUUUAAUCUGAUGCCCCACCCUGCCACAAAUAUAACAGAAAUUUGGCAGCCUCUCGUACUUGAAGAAAACACGCAAGCUCUUCCCCUGAUACUUGAUAACAGUACCCCUUUUGAGUGGUUUCUUCAAAUCAAUUUCAGCUUUGACUCUAAGAAACUUACCCAAACGGUUAACAUCCUUCGGAUCCACCUCAACAAAUUUUCCAAUCGUAUCCCCUAACUUCUUUGAUGUUGCGUCUGUUCUGAGCUUCAAAGGAAGAUCAUAGACUCUGGUCCAGAACUCUGUCGUGUUCAUUUCCAUCUCAGAUGGUUGUUCUUCGCCUGAGAUUUUCUUGAGCACUAACAAAUUUCUAUCAAAGCUCCAUGGUCCUGACUUCAUAACACUAUCCACAUCCCUUUUAGAUGAAAACCUAAACAAAAAGAGGUUUUUGUUCAGAUCUUGUACCUCAACAGGGUUCUUCAGCCUCCAAGAUUGAACAAUCACUUGUUUGAACACCCUUGUGUUGAAAGGGUUAACAAUCCAGAGCUUACCCACCAAAGAGUUCUUAAACGCAUCAUCUCCGGUGACCUCUGUUUCUUCGAGAGCGAAACCCUCUUCUUCCUCCUUCGACAGAUCCACCCUUUUCCAUCCCUCAUUCGUCAUGAAAGCUAGACGAAAGGAGCUCAGAUCUGAACUUUGUUGUCCACGUCAAGCCCACAAAGAAGAAAACCACCGAACAAAACUAAACUGCUGUAACACUAAACUGCUUUGUUGUCCCCCUAACAUGUCUAAUCACUUAGCCAAGCCCUAGAUACAAAAACCAUUACACUACACUGGUUACAUACAAAUUGGACAACAAUGAUGAAAUUUUUUCAAACCAAUUUUUCGUUGAUAUUAAGCUUUUAAAUCUAUUUAAUUAUAAUUAAACUCUAAACUAGCUACUUAAUUAUCUUUAUUUUUUAGGAUAAAAAUGAGUUACUAAUUGAAAUGUAAUUAAUUAUAAUUAACCUCUAAAUUUACUUUUUUUACAACAAGGAAUAUUAACAAUGAGUUAGUCAUUCGAAUUAAUAGAACUUAACAUAGGAGUGUUAAGACGAAAAGUCGUUUGUCAAAUGAACAAAGAAAAUAAAUUGUAAUUGAUGGUUGGAAUUACGUGAUUGAGGUAUAAACUCUGACUCAUUCAUUUGUUUCUAUAUGGUUCAAUUGUAUCGUAUUUUAUUAUGUUAUAAAUUCAAAGACUUGAUAUUAGUUGUUUUGAGAAUGGUGUAAAUAUUAGUGGACGAUCAUAAAAACUAAUAACUAAUUAGGAGUGUAUUCAAAUAUUAUGAUUCAUUGUUAAAUUUAUCUGAAAUAAAGUAUUUAAAAAACAUGGAGUAAUCUUACACUGGUCACAUGAUUAAUUUAACGAUAUAUGUAAGCAUGCUAUAAAUUAGAUGGUAAAUUAUAAAUGCAAUGUUCUUGUCAAAUAAAAAAAAAUGAAAUGUUAAUUUAUAAUGUACACUCAUUCAGUUAACAUUUAAUUUGAUCUCAAAUAACAAUAGGAUUGAACAAUCACGAAAAUAAGAGGACAUUCGUGCAUAAGAGGACUUGGACAAAUGCCUAAUGGUGGGGUAUUGAACAUCGAGUUUUAGGAGUUAUUAUCCAAUAGUGGGGUAUUGACGAUUCAUAUGCAUUAGGUGAUUCAAAAUAAUGUCCAACUGUGGGAUACUGAACAUUAAAUUUUAAGAGUUAAUAUCCAAUGCUGAGGUAUUGCCCAAUGGUGGAACAUUUGGCUCUGCAUAGAUGUGAAGGCCGGAUCACGAGCAUUUGCAUAUAGAUAGACCAAUAGGAACUCAUGAAUUUUAGUCGGAUUUUAACUUGGUGUUAGGGGUGGUGAUUAUGAAACUGGAGUAAUGUGCGAUGUACGUUUCUUUUGUUUGCAUAUAGAUGUACGAUUAUAACUUUUAUGAUCCAUUUCUCUCAACAUAAUUUUACUCUAAUUUUUAUUCUUAUUCCAUUGAAUUCAAUGAUCACACAAGGGAGGCCUACCUCCUACUUUAAAAAACACAAAUCGUGUGACAAAUGCAAAGUGAAAUUACAUCAAAAAACAUCCUAAAAGGGUGAUAUUUAGAAAGCAGGGCCGGCCCUAGAGCAUAGGCCGCGAGUGCGACGGCCUAGGGUCCAUGCCGGUAGGGGGCCCAAAUUUUUUUUAAGAUAAGGGAGGUGUAUAUAGAAAUAUUUGGAUUUCGGGGGAUAUAUAUAGAAACAUUCUCUGCAAAGGCCCAAACUUUGACAUGAUAAAGGAAUGGGCUGACAUCUGUUAGUAUUUUUGGCCCUUUUAGUGAGAUUUGCUAUAUAUAUCCCAUGUAACACAAAUAUUUCUAUAUACACCCUCUUAUCGACGAUAUUUAUUAUCCAAGAAAUUGGGAUAAUUUUCAUAACAAAGCAAAUUCUAUUUUAGUUGAAAAUAGGGUGCUAAAAUUCUAGUCUACUUCACAUGUGCUAUUUUUUUCUACUUCUACGGUAUUUUUAUUUUGUUUUGGUGUAUAUAAAAUAUUUAAUUUAUUUUCAGAUGUUGUCUAAAAAAACAUAACAAUGAGAUAAAAAAAUUAUGAUGCAUUAUAUAAGGGUCCUUUUUUCAUAUUAUGCCUAAGACUCAUAAAACUCUAGGAACGGGCCUGUUAGAAAGAACUGUUCUGCUGAUGUGGAUUUAUUUGGGAAUUUUCGAAUAUUUUUUUCUGAAAAAUAAUUUUAAUAGGGAGUGGCCCAGUUAAUAACCACUUAUUGCUAUGGUUUAGGUAAGUACACCUAUUUAUUGUUAUUAAUUCCGGAUUUGGCUUUUUAAGACCAUGUGAUCUGCAUCUGCUCAUAUCAAGUGGAUGGACGCCGUUUUGCUACAGUAGAUUGAGAAAGUAAUGAUGUCAGGCUACACACAAAAAAUAUUAUAAACACAUACGCUCCACCCUCAAUCUUCCAUUUCCUUCCACAGCUUAAAUGAGAGACACCCUAUAAACAAAUAAAUAAAGUAUAUACACAGCUUAAACUUGUGGACAUAUAUAAUUGUCAUAUUUCCCAUCCAUCUUCCAUUUCCUUCCACUUUGUUUUGCCAGAUCUCUUUUCCCAUAAUUUGAUUCAAUAUUCAACACAUUUCUCUGGAGUUCUCUUAUGUUUUCUUUCCCUGCAGAAUAUUGUGGUGAAAGAGGGGGGUUAUUAGAAAAGCUAUUACAAGAGAAAGUGAUUAAAGACAAACAACAGAUAUGAAGCAAUACUACUGCUGCCAACCACACUACUUUAACCUCUUCAUUCUUUUAUUUUCACAUAUGCAAAGGUAUUCAUCAAAUUUCUGCUAUACAUCAUUUUAUGGUCUUCACUUAUUUUUUCAAGAUUUGGCUUCCUACUGUUGAAUAUACGCUAAUUACUCCAAACUGCAACACUAUGAUAUUUGUACAAUCACUUUGUGAUAACUUUUAGACAAUCUUCCCUCUCAUACUCACAUCAUAUUUUUACUCUCUUUCUUCCUUUUUCUCUCUCCAUUGUUUUUGACCAAUGAAAAGAGAUAAAAUGAAGGUUGUCCAAUAGAUUGUACCAAAUAGUUGUUCAAAUAUCAUUGCUCUUUACUUUUUAAUCUAUUGCAGAUGGCAGCCCUCAUUAUGAAAGCAAAUGAUUUAUUUUCUCUAUAUUGUAUGGAGAGUAAACUUUAUUAUGGUACUCUUCAAAUUCCCGCUAUACAUCAUUUUAUGGUAUUCAUUAAAUCAUACAUAAAUUGGAUUUUUUGACCUAGAAAUCAUACAUAAAGUUGGAUUUUUUUUCUCACUAAAUCAUACAUAACAUACACUGAAAGUUAAACCACAAAAAUUAAGUUUAAAGCUUCGUUUUUCUCUAUAAAUCUAAUCACUAAAUUAUACAAAAGCUAUACUUAAACUUAAACUAAAUAAAUUAUCAUGCAAAGCUGGAUUUUCUUCAUCGAAUGAUAACUAAAGCUAAAAACAACAAUUGAUAUUCACUUUUUAUCCUAUCAUUUUAUGGUAUGCAUUGAAUUUCUAUCAUCUCCUCAUUUUUGCAGUCGCAUGCCCUUAUUAUAAAGUAAAUUAUAUAUUUCUCUAAAUUCAGAAGUUUAAGUGGUAACAUCUCAAUAAGGAGCCAAUUAUAAGUUUUUUAAAAACAUAAUAUUGUUUUAUUGGAAGUUCUUUAUGUAUUCACCAUUUAAAUGCUCACAAGUCAUUUCUACAACCAGCUUUCUAAAAUUUCUAAGUUGUAUAGUAAGUAUGUGGAAAAAGACUUUAAUAGGAAAAGGCAUAACCCCUAUGCAUUCUUUCAACUCAUUCAGAACACAAACCCUAUGCAUUCAGAAAGGGUUGGUUAUGCUUAUCUAACAACAGAAAAAGAGUUAUUAGAUAAAAAAGAAAAACUUACAUGUCUUUGUUUUCAUCAUGUCCACUUUUGACUCCUUGCUGAACUAAUGCUUCUUCCAGAUCCCCAAACUCAACCAUAUCCCAUUGCUAACAAACAAAGAAAAAUCAAACCAAAACAUAUUAAAUAUUAAAACAAAACAAAAAUGAAUUUAAUCAAGCAAGAUGCAAUAAAACAGUAUUCACUAAAUAAGGAGAAAUUAAUUAUUGAAGAACUAUACAUUAAGCUUGAUAAAGUGUUGCUUAUCCUAUGACAAUUUGCAUAAGGGUCAAGAUUACUUGAAUGUCCUAAUUAGAAAUAUUAUUUAAAAUUAGGAACUUUUCAUUUUUGUGUUGGCCAGAAGAUACCAAAGUUGUCAAAAUUACAUUAUUCCACUAUGCUAAUAAGCCUCUUGUCCCAUCACAUCUAUUAGAAAUGCUUAGGCUAUAAAUAUAAAACAAUGUAAAUUGAUUAAAGAAUAAACAACUUAAUUAAAAUGGACUAAAAAACGUACAGUAUGUGAAUCUAGGUGGGGAAGUGGGUGUCUCUCAUCAUAACUCACUAGGUUGCUGCCCUGGAAAUGUGCGUGCAUAUUAACCACAAAAAACAAGAGCAAUCAGUUGAACGCAUAAGAGAUGCUGAAAAGAAUCUACAUGAUGUAUCCUAAUUUAGAAGAAACUCUCAAUUCACAAGUUUUAAAUUUAAUUUGAUUCUUUUCAUGUAAGCAUUCCUUUUUACAGUUCUUAUAUUAAAGAAGCAGUAGUUUACCUAUUAUUGAGCAGUGCUUGCUUGUUAUAUUCGAGUUGUUGAUUUAUAUUCUAAACAGUGCUUGAAGCACCCACACCAGCAAGUUAUAUCCAAAAAUGCAACUUUUCUAAACAUACAUUUAGAAAGAAAACUAACACAUUUUAUGAGCAGUGCUUGCAUUCCAUUCAAGAAUCGUUUAGACAUUCCAAUGUAACUAAAAAACUUACUAGAUAGAUGGGACCACUAAUAGUUUCAUUGCUUUUAAACAUUUCCCAUUUUUCAAUGUCACUGUACCAAAGUCAAUCAGCACUUACCUCUUGUCAUAUCACAAUUCAAAUUUCGAAAUUCCCCCCUAAAUUUUAAAUCACCAACCUUUUGAAACCAUAUAUUCAAAAUCACUUUUCUCAUAUUUUUCAUUCUCACUUUUCUGUUUCCAAACAUAAAUCUUCACAAGAUAAAUUUUUAAAAUUUAUGUUGGUAAACUAUGAGAAUUACUAAAUUACUAAUUCGUUUAAGACAUAAAUCCUCAACAAAAUAAAUAACUCAUUUCGAUAUUAAUUUCUUGCAGGAAAUGUUGAUUGAGUGGGCUUGUAUGUUGCCUAAUUUUUUUUUGAAAAAUAUGAUAGUUUGCAGCAAAAUCAUAUGACGUUCAUGUCUCUUACACAAAACUACGGAUAAAGACAUUUCAUGAAGAAAUAAACUGAAUACCUUGAUUUUAUUUUGCAGAGUCACAUUCCACUACUAGAAAAUUCAUUUUUAGCGACGGAAAUUUGUGAGGGUUUAAUUUCCGUCGCAAAUUGUGACGGAUUUUGUGAGGGGUACUCUUUUGAUGUCAUUAGCGACGGAUUUUACGAGGGUCUAUGUCGUCGCUAUGUAUCCGUCAUAAGUUCCAUAAAAAUGUGACAUUACGUAGUUUUGUGAGGGAUUUAGCGAGGGUUUUAUUCCAUCGAUAACUAUUCCGUUACAUAUUCCGUCGAAGAUUCCCCAAAUGGUUUGCGACGUCCUUGAAUGUCGUCUCAAAGAGAAUUUCGCGUUUUUUUAUUAAAUGAUGAAAAAUGUGAAUUAAUUAAAACUUCUAGGUGAGAUGAGACUUGAAGCCACGACCUUGGAAUAACAAUCAAGACAACCUACCACCAGGCCUUGGUGCCUUAUUUGUUGUUUCUUUUAAUUGUUUUUUAUUAGUACUUGGUUAUGUUAGGUUUUUUUUUUUUAGUUGGUUUUUAUUAGUACUAAGUUAUUUUAGGUUUUUUUUUUUUUGUUGAAAAUCUUUCCUUUUCUUCCACUAACAAACACAUGACCCCACUAAUUUGCACUUUUUUCCUUCAUUUUUACUUAUUUUUUAUUCAAAUCUAAAUUUGGCUUAAAUGUAUUUUUGGUCUUCCUAUUUACAUAUUUUUGAAGUUUUAAUACCCUUAUUUCAAAAACCAACAUUUUGAUCCUCUGUUAAGAAAGUCAACGGAUAUUUUUUGUCCCCCAACAACUUCAUUGAUGUGACGCUGACUUGGGACAAUGAUUUGAAAACUAUAUUUUUAUUUUACUUAUAUAUUACAAUAUUACUAUUCAUUAUAAAAAUUUCUUCAACAAAUCUUCAUCUUCAACAACCAACAAUCACAUACACAUUUGGGGGUUGAGUUUUAAGAGUGUUGACGAUAGAUUGUGAUUAAUCUUGUGUUAGUGUUGAAUGUUGAUGGUAAAGAUGGAGGCAGUUAUUUUAAUUAAUUUAUAAUAUAAAAUAAAAUAAAUAAUAAUAUUAAUCAAUAAUAAUGACAUGGAAAAUAUUUUUUAUACCUCAUUAAUACACGGUCAGCACCAUGUCAUUAACGAGGAUGUGACAUCAUCAAAAUUUGCGGGGGAUCAAAAAAUAUUGUCGACUUCCUUAAUAUAGGGAUCAAAAAGUUGAUUUUUAAAAUAGGGGAUUAAAACUUCAAAAAUGUUCGACCAAAAAAAAAAACUUCAAAAAUAUGUAUAUAAAAAACCCUAAAAAGAAAAUUAUAUCCGUUACACCACUAUUAUAAAAAAAUUAAAAUAAAAGAAAAAACAAAUAGGAAUAGUUGGACAACUUGCACCAUUUUCUACUUAUCCAACCUUUCUUUAAUUAUUAUUAUUUUUUAACAAGCAAUGUAAAAUUUGUAAUGUUAAUUUUUUCAUUUUCAAAUUAUUAUCAAAUGUGGUAGAAAUUUAAGUUCAUACGAAUAAAUAAAUAUUUGAUAAUUUUUUUAAGGAUUGUAAUUAAAUAUUAUGAGGUAAUUUAUAAUUUAAUUAAUAAAUUAUUUUUGUUUAAUGAUGCAAGUGGGACAUAUUUAUGUACUUUUCAUUUGAGUUUUUUUUUUUUUUUUUUUUCCAUUUGAGUUCUUAAUAGGUACUUUUAUUAAUAUAUUAUAAAUAAGUGACGUGUAACGUGGGGUCCAUUUAAGGAGUCCCUAUUAAGGAACUACCAUUAUGGAUGCUCUAAAGGAUUGAAUGUGAAAAAUGUGAAUGUGAAUUUACUUGUGAAUUUAUGUUUUAAUAUCACUUUAUUAUUAUUGUACAAGUAUCAUGCUUUGUACUUUUUUUUAUCUAAAUUAGAUUGUGAUGGUGAAUGUGAAAAAUGCAAAAAUGAGAGAGUUAUUGAAACGCACCGUUCAACUUGUAAAAUAAAAAAUUAAUAAUAAUUAAAAAAAAAUUAAAUUUAUGAAACUAGUAAUCAAUUAUCCAGCGGUAAUAUCUACCAAAAAAAAAAACCAUUUUCCCUUGUUAUUUUUUUUAACAAACAACUAUUUUCCCUUGUUAUUUCCGUCUUUCCUCUAAAACUUUCGCUCUUUGUUCUGUUCCUCCAUAACUUCACUUUUUCUUCUUCUCUUCCUUUUUCCAUCAAAUCAUCAAUCUACUUCCACAAAUCAAUUACCCAUAAGAAAUAUUAUUGAUCUAAGCAAGCUAUUAGUUUUUAAUCCACUGAACCAGUACAAACACAACCACACAUUCACAUUUUCUUUCUUUUCAAUUAAAAAACAUAACACAAAACCUUUUCUCUCUUAUCUCUCUCCCGUAACCCAUUCUAUCUUCUCUCCAAAUUGUUUUGUGCUCAUUUCCAUCCCCCAUUGCACUUUUUUUUUUUCCAUUUUUGUCACCAUCACUCCUCUAAUUCUCAUCAAAUGUUCUACAAUUAGUGUUAAGUUGAGAAGUGGAAAUACAAAGUAAUGGAGGGUUUGAUUUUUGGUGUUCCUUGAGGUAAAAUUUUAUAAUUGAUAGAAUGUAUUGGUGAUAUCUAGCUUUGAUCAGUAGUAGAAACUAGUAUAUGUAGAAUGAUUUAGAUUUUCAUAGAUUCCUUUUAAACCCUAAGUCUAGAAAAAUUGGGGGUUUUACCAAAUUCUUUUAUCUAUUGUUAAUUCAGCUGUAAAUAAGUAAGUCUUUUCAAGAGUUAUAAUGAUUGUGUAAUGUUCAGAUUCGGUGGAAAUCGCUCCGAUGGCCGUUCCGGAAGGCAUUGCACGGAAUGGACUUGAAGCUUCAUAGUUGUGAGUAGCUAAAAUACCUUGUGGCAUGUUUUCAUAAGUAAAAAUGUUGUUUUAUGGGAGAAAUAAAUAAUCUUUUUAAAAGAGAAUCUCAUUUUCCUCAAAAAAAAUAAGAUUUCACUAUUGUGUUUAUUCAAUUACAAGGAUGUGAUUUUGAUGAUUACAAAUUUGAUGAUAAUUGGUGAUAAUGUGGAUAACUGGUAACACUGUUGUGAGGGUUUCAAUCCUAUGAAUUAACUUGUCAUAAGGAAACAUUCAAUCAUAAAAGAGUUACAAGUUCCAAAGCAAAGCUCCUAGUGUGAUGUCCGGUUUAUCCUAUAUUAAUUACAUUGCUUGUAUUGCAAAGGAUAUAUAAGUGGCUUCCUGAGCAUGAUCAAGACAUAAAGAAGACUUAUCAUCAUAAGGCAUCUGAUGGUUACCAAAAUACAAUGUAUCGGGUACGAAGAGGAAUGGACAAAGGCGAAUGGAUCCCUGCUAUAUUGCGUGAAAAAUUGGAACAAAAUUAGGAAGAUAGUAAAUGGAAGGACAAAGCAGCAGUUAAUAAGCAAAAUAGAAGAUCCUCUAAUGGUCCAUUGCACACUUGUGGGUCAAUUCCAACAAUUGAACAUUCUAAAAGAUUAGUAAGUAAACAAAUUAUAUUUGCAGUAAAGCAUAGUGAUUUAAAUUAAUAAUAAUACUAAUCUAUUUAUUUUGUACUAUAGAAAACUGACUCAAACAUGACUCCAAGUUGUUGGGAAAUGUAUCUAAAGACACACAAAAUGAAAGGUGAUCCAUCAAAGUGGGUAUCCCCCAAAUCUCAAAUGGUUGCGAUAAGUUACAAUUCGAUGAUAUUAUCAUUUCCAGCCCUUUGUCAAAUGAACAUAAAACAAUUGAAAAUUUUCUAGAAUUAGUUAUAUCCUUUUGUGGACUUGGUAUGCUGGUGGCAAGUCAAGGUAAUUGGAAAAACUUAAAAAAAAGUAUUUAUAAUUGUCCUCAUGUGUAUUGAUGCAUGCUGCUACAUUAUAACUCUGCCAUCAUGUGCUAUAAUUGUUUUUGGUUAUCUAAUCAUGUAUAUUGUUGUAUAUUACAUGCUUUUGUGCCAUAAUUUUUAAUGUUAUGCAUGAUUAUUAUUGUUCAUCAGGUUCUGACAUCUGAACAUGAUAAUCUAAUGUUUCUUCACUUGGAAAGAAGUCAUGAUAACUUGGUUAUUAGUUAAAAACUAGUUUUAAUUUGUUUAACUUGUUAUUGGUUGGUUUAUAUAUGAAUUUAAUUGUAGUAAUUGAUUUAAUUUCAUAUUUUUGUACGUAAGAAUUAAGACAAACUCUAAUUUUGUAGGAUGAAUAUGAAAGACGGAUUUUUGAAAGGAACUCGCAAUAAACAGAGGGGGAUGAUGUGUCUAAUGACCAUCAAUCAGACAACUUCAUCUUCUUGGACGUAGUUGGAGGAGUCGACAAGAAAGGACGUAUUUAUGGUUUGGGGACAGAGGCAGGAAAAUACAAGCCUUCUUCAUCCAGGUCAUCUGAUGGCAUCUCACCAUCUGAAUAUGAGCAUAUGAGGACUGCAAUAUCUAAAAUGUCAGCUGAAAACAUGGAACUCAAGGANNNNNNNNNNNNNNNNNNNNNNNNNNNNNNNNNNNNNNNNNNNNNNNNNNNNNNNNNNNNNNNNNNNNNNNNNNNNNNNNNNNNNNNNNNNNNNNNNNNNNNNNNNNNNNNNNNNNNNNNNNNNNNNNNNNNNNNNNNNNNNNNNNNNNNNNNNNNNNNNNNNNNNNNNNNNNNNNNNNNNNNNNNNNNNNNNNNNNNNNNNNNNNNNNNNNNNNNNNNNNNNNNNNNNNNNNNNNNNNNNNNNNNNNNNNNNNNNNNNNNNNNNNNNNNNNNNNNNNNNNNNNNNNNNNNNNNNNNNNNNNNNNNNNNNNNNNNNNNNNNNNNNNNNNNNNNNNNNNNNNNNNNNNNNNNNNNNNNNNNNNNNNNNNNNNNNNNNNNNNNNNNNNNNNNNNNNNNNNNNNNNNNNNNNNNNNNNNNNNNNNNNNNNNNNNNNNNNNNNNNNNNNNNNNNNNNNNNNNNNNNNNNNNNNNNNNNNNNNNNNNNNNNNNNNNNNNNNNNNNNNNNNNNNNNNNNNNNNNNNNNNNNNNNNNNNNNNNNNNNNNNNNNNNNNNNNNNNNNNNNNNNNNNNNNNNNNNNNNNNNNNNNNNNNNNNNNNNNNNNNNNNNNNNNNNNNNNNNNNNNNNNNNNNNNNNNNNNNNNNNNNNNNNNNNNNNNNNNNNNNNNNNNNNNNNNNNNNNNNNNNNNNNNNNNNNNNNNNNNNNNNNNNNNNNNNNNNNNNNNNNNNNNNNNNNNNNNNNNNNNNNNNNNNNNNNNNNNNNNNNNNNNNNNNNNNNNNNNNNNNNNNNNNNNNNNNNNNNNNNNNNNNNNNNNNNNNNNNNNNNNNNNNNNNNNNNNNNNNNNNNNNNNNNNNNNNNNNNNNNNNNNNNNNNNNNNNNNNNNNNNNNNNNNNNNNNNNNNNNNNNNNNNNNNNNNNNNNNNNNNNNNNNNNNNNNNNNNNNNNNNNNNNNNNNNNNNNNNNNNNNNNUUUUAAACAAGUAUGUAAAAAAUCAUUAAAAAAAUUAAAAUUUUAAGCAUAAUUAAACAAAUUUUAAUUUAACAGGGACUAAAAACACUAACGGAAAAUUUUGUAGGGACUAAAAAGUGUGAUUUAUUUUUAUAGGGACUAAAAACAAAACUGCAGAUAUUUAUAGGGACCAAAAGCUUAAUUAACCCUUAUUUCAAUAUAUUUUGAUGCAAAAGAUAAGUAGUGUGAUUUUUGUGAACGCAAUCAAAAAAGGUUUUCAUCAAAUAUUAAUGUGAAUUUUAUCGUAUUUUAUCAUAUUAAUGUAUUUUAUCUUAUGAUUUUUUAUCACCUUGUUUUAUAUUCCAAAAGUGUUUUGAGAAAUAAUUGAGAAAUUUUUUAAACUAAUUUUAAGGGAAAAAAAAAAAAAAAACUUAAUUGUGACGGAAAAUAUGAAAGUCACAAAUAUUUUGUCUUGCAGUGUAGCGUCAGAUAUCAUAGCGUCGCUAUCCAAAUUCCCAGAUAUUUUGCGAGGGAAUUCUUCUCUCAGUUAUUUGCAACGGUUUUUUCCCACAGUGAUUUGUGACGGAGAAUUUUAACGUCGGUAUUUUGUGACGGAAAAUUGGCUUACAUAUAUCCAUUUUGUGGGAGGUUUAGCGACGGAAUUUUGGUAUUUGCGACCGUGUCUGUGCCGCCGCAAUUAGUGACGGAGUUGAUAUUCCCUCGGUCAUUUUCUCCGACCCCCAUUAUUACGACGGAUUUAUGGAGCGUCGCAAAACCCGUCAGAAAGUUGUUUGCUACGGAAUUUUAACGCUUUUGCGACGGAUUACGGCCGUCGCUAAAUCCUUGUUUUCUAGUAUUGUUCAAAGAGUUCUUAUUUUAUUCAAAAGUUUGAAUCUUUUAUUUUUUAUAUAUAAAUAAAAUAUUAUGUCUAACAAACUGUGUUUAACAAAAGGUCCAAAAAAAAAAAAACAUAAUAUUAUUCUUUAAAUUAAGAAGAUGAUGAAGAAACAUAGAUCCAAAAACAUUUUCAACAAGAAAACCUUACCCUUCUCACAUCAAGAGUUUUAGUUCACUUUUUCCUCUUGUAUGAUUUUACCAAACUAGAUUUCUGUUCUUCCACUUCAUUUUGCAGGAAAUUUAAAACUUUCUCUCUUUUCCACCCUUAGAUCAGAUGGUUUCACAAAUCUUAUCAUAGUCCACCAACACUAAAUCAGACAUACAUCACUUCCCCUCUCUCUGUGUUACUCAGUCUUAAGCAAAAACAACUGUCUUUUUCCUCACAAUUACACUAUCAUAAGACUUACUUGAUUGUUUAAAACUUUUGCAUCAACUUUCUCACAAUAUUUUUUUGAUUUGGAUCUCAAUCUAUCUAGAAAACACUUGAUGAUGUUCAACGUUGGUCUGAGAACGAGGAAUCGAGGAGCAUCUGACUACCACAUAGUUGGCAACUUUGCAUCAACUUUUUUUUCCUCAUUUAUUCUUUGAACAUUUAGGCUGUGUUUGGAACCACUGAAAGAGUAAGGAAAGAAGCUGGGUAGGAUGGAAAGUUUAUAGGGAAGUGUGCUUCCAUGUUUUGGAACACCAAAGAAAGAGUGAGGAAUGAUAAAUUUUGAUGGGUCCUACAGCAGGAAAACUUUCCGUUCAAAUUUGAGAAGAAAGCAUGAAGAGAAUAUUCAAUGUUUCAAAUGGACAGUUAUGCCCUUGCUUUGGAAGAAGUGCAUGAGUUAUUUACAAUUUUGCAAUAGUAUUAUACUAGCAACUUGAAACAAAUAUUUAACAACAAUGUUAAAUCAAUAAUUUAAUUAAUAAAUAACCAAUACACUAAUAUUUUAUUUUAAAAUAUUCUAUAGAUAUAUGCAUGUAUUUAUAUUAGUAUACAUAUUUUAAAUUAACAUUUUAUUCAAAUGUAGGGACAUCUAUGUCAUUUACUAAAAUAUAUCUAAUUCUUUCCUCUCACUUUCUUUUCACUUUCAAUUAUACCAAAAAACCAAACAAUCAUCUCACAUUCCUUUCCCUUUCUAUUCACUUCCAAUCCUUCUACUUUCUUUCCUUAUACUUUCUUUCCUUUGGACAUCCAAACAAAGCCUUAGGCUAUGUUUCGUUGAUCAAAGAAAGUAGAAGGAAAGAAAUUGAAAGGAAGGAAUGAGAGUAGAAAGAGAGAUGAUUUUAUUAGUUAUUUGAUAUAAAAGAAAGAUGAUGGAAAGAAACAUAAAAAAUAAAAAAAUAAAAAAUGUUAGAUUUAGUAAAUUACAUAACUACCCACGCAUUAAAUCAAUAUGUAUUUACUUAUAUUAAUAUAUAUUUAAUAUUAUAUCCAAAAAAAUGUUCCAAAAAAAAAUAAUGCAAAAAAUAAGAACAUGGGAUAGUAACAAAAAAUUAUCAAAUGAAUGCCACUAAAAAAAAAUAAGAGCUGGAAUUUUUUUUUAAAAAAAAGAACAUUAUAAAGGUAAUAAAGUAAGGGUAUUUGUGUCUUUUCAUCUUAUAAAUGAGUUUCUUCUUCACUUUUUGCUCAAUCGGACACAUAAACAAUUUUGUAGUGGGCCCCAUCAAAGAUGCUUCUUUCCUAUGUCUUUUCAUGGUGUUCCAAACUAUGGAAACCCCUUCUUUCCACUUUAUUUCUCUCCAGUCACAAUCUUUCCUCCUUCUAUCAAUUGAAAAAAACAAACCCUUAGGAUUUAGGGUUAGGGAUUAGGGUUUAAGCAUCACUUGUCCAAGGCAUCACUUUUUCAAUCCAAACCAGUUAUUAAAAUUUAACAUUUUAAAAAUCAUUGAUCUUUUUAAUUCAAAUAGUAUACCCCCUCUGAACAUUUUUAUAAGAAUUAAACAAUUUUUAGGUUCAUUGAAUAACUAAUGUUUCUGGUCUAUAAAUUUGGUAAGAUGUGUUUAAUGUUUAUCAUUCAACAAACCUAAAUUUUUUUAUUUUUUUUAUAAAUGUGACUACAAAGAGUACAAGGCAUCACUUUUUCCGAUAAAGGCAGAAUAAUUUGAUUAUUAUUAAUUUGAUUUCAGCUGUUAUUUUUUGUUUGUAUGUAAGAAUUAUUCCUCACUUAGGUGUUUACUACACUUAUUUACGAGUUUUAAUAAUGUUAAUUUUUUUUAUAGUGUUUGAAUGUUGUAUUUCUACUUUAAUUUUUAGGUUAAUUUUUUAUUUUUUUAUGUAUUUCAUUUGUACUAAACAACGGUUGGUUUUACCUUGUCUUUUUGUUCAAUGAAAAACCAAAAUAAAUAAAUUACUUUUUAAUUUAACUAUGUUAGCAUUUUCUUUUAACUAUAGCAUUGACCUUAGUGUUUGUUUUGAUUUCCGUCACUUUUACCCAAACUCACAUUUAAAAUAACAGCAACGCCGAUGUUGUAUAUAGUAGCUUUAAUCAUUAAGCGGUUAAGAUGUAUUGGGACAUGGUAUUGACCCAGAUACCACUUAUCCAAACAUAACAUUGGUGUAAAUCAAUUUUAGAUGGUAGUCAUUGUAUCCUAUGGUUCAAUUCAAAUUUAUACAAAUAAAUUAUUGACAAAAAAGAUUUAAAAAAAUAUAUUGAGUUGUAGGAAUGAAUCAUUUGAUUCAAUAUGAUUUAGUCAUAUAGUUAUGUGAGUGAAUCAAUGGUUUGACUAUUGAUAAAGAACUCUCAUUGAUUCAAAUUUUAAAAAUUUAAUGGUGUGUGAAUUUAAUGGUGAUGAUUUUUUUAUAUGUUGGAGAAAAGUGUAGGGUGUCCAUUGAGUAGAAAUGACUUUUUUUUUUUAAUAUGUUACUCAUCAAUAAAAGAUAUACAAGAAAAUAUUUUGUCAAUGAUAAAUGGCUUAAUUAAACAUCCGAUCUCUUAGCUUAAUUUUUUUUUUUUAAAUGGGUCACAUAACUAUUAAAAUUUGCAUUGCGGUACUUUACUUUUGUUUCCGUGAGUCAAUUUGGUCUUCCGUUAAUUUUAAUCCCUUAAUAAAAGAGAUUAUUUUCUUCAUUUUCUUCCUCAUUUUCAUCUUCAUACAACCUUCAUCAUCUUAAAAAAAACCCAAUUUUUUCAUUUAAAAAACUCAUCAUUCCAACUUCAACAAUAACUACAUAAUCAAACUCUUAAAUCUAGAAUUAACACCACCACCAUCAUCUAACUCAAAAUUAAAACUAACACCCAUGUAUCAAAUUCAUCACAAGGGUACGGGCACGGGCACGGGCAUGUGUAUUUUUUACAAAUGCGGGUAUGGGGAAGGACAUUGUAGUACCCUACUCAAUUAGUAUGUCAUGGAAGAUUUUCUAAUCCAGAAAUAUUUAACUAAGUGUUUGUUUGGUUAAGCGUUUUAUGUUGUUAAAGAAUGUUACGGAAAAAUGGAAGGAACGCACAACAAGAGAGAGGAAAAAGAUUUCAUUUGAUGGUUUUUUUGUUAGUUUUUUUUUACUAUUGUGUUGGAUUGAAAUGUUUCUUUAAAUACAAUUAAAAAGAUAAUUUAAUCAUUACACAUUUAAAAUUAAUUUUGAUUCAAACUAUGCAAACAACAUUAACUCAUGAGAAUCACUUUUAAUAAGUGUAUACAAACACAAUUGAUUCACAUCCAACUUACUUUUAACUAAAAUCAAUUCUUACAAACUCAAUUAUAUCAAAAUCAAUUCCCGUCACCGUUAAACUAAACAUACACUAAGAGAGUUGGUUUUCAAAUUUCUUAUAAUGUUUGCAUGGAUUUAAGUUUAAAUUUAAAACAGACUAGACUGGCUUGUGAGGUGUAUAAUUCUGUCUAAAAACAAGUUAACCAAAACUCAUUUAAGAAUUGGUUGUCUCUAAAGUUUUUUUUAGUGGAUUAACUUAGAGUUGUCUUCAUAUAAUUUUCACAAUCUUCAAUUGUUUAAUGAUUUUUCAAACUAUGUGAUUGAAUCACAUCUUGUCCCAAAUGUUUUCACUUCAAUCACUACUCAAAUAACUAAUUUUCGUUUUGCCGACAAAAUGUGCAGAUUUUCUCCAUUUAUUAUAUACACCACUAAAUAAAGAAAAUAGUAGUGAUGAACAUGUCAUUUAUGUAUCUAAUAUCAACAGUAAAUUGAUCCAAGUGAUAAGGAAUUUUAGCCCCUCAAGCAAGUAGUUAGAGGUUUGAUCGCUGACUCUUGCAUUUAAAGAAAAUUUAGUUGGAAGGGAACAACCCACCAUGUAUAUCCCAAGAUUUUUCAAUAGAGAUUAAUCACAACUAAACAAUGGUGAAAACUUUGCACUAACAACACGUUAUCCCUAAAAUAAAUAUUGCGUCAUUAGUUUAUCCUUUGAAGACCAAAAAACUCAGUUGAGAAAACCAUUUCUACUUAAAUCAAGUACAACUUUGUUACGCAUAUUAAUGCAAAAAAAGAGAGGUAUACAUGGUGUUCUUAAGCCUAAAAGGUUUGCCAUGAAAAAUGGUUACUUUUAAGAAGUUAAGGAUAGGUAAAAAAUCAUGGGUAUCUAAAAAACGGUUGUGUGAGAAAGGUUGAAUCACGAAAAAAACAUACAAAUGAGUUGGUCACCACAUUAAACCCAAACAUUUCGAGAUCAUGUGAAAAAAACUUUAGAGUAUUUUUUUAAGUUCGAUCCAGCUGGUCAACCUGCACCACCCUGUCACCGCCCUAUUUUUUAGUGAUUUAGGUAGGACGAGCACCCUACUAAUGACGGGAUCAAAAUCUUAACCCACCCCACCAAAAAAGAUAGGUAAAAUGGGCCAACCCGACGGGGCCCAACCCAUCUUGUCAUCCAUAGAUUCAAGUUAUUGAUAAACUCUAUCAAAGAACGAAUUAUUUAAAAGAACUUAUAUUGAUUUUUUUUUUUUGAAAAAGUUGAAAUUAAAUAUAUAUUAACCACAAAGGACUCAAAUAUGAAAAAGAGCAAAAAUCAUGAGAAUUAAGAGAUAAUAUUUAAACAAGGAAAUAAUUAAGCCUCUAAUAAUGAUGAUCUAAAUUGAAAGUAACACACUUCGAUUUCAACCACCAUAAAGCAUGGGCUUAACAUUUUCACAUAAUUUUUGCAAAUUACUUUAGAAAAUAUGUUUGUUCUCGCUCUUUCCAAAUAACCCACAAUACUUAAAUCUAUAUGAUUUGAAAAAGUCAACUUAACACACUUGGAGAAAACCCUAGCAUGCUAAACCGUACCUUGAGAAAUCAUUGUAACACCAAGCCAUCUUGUUAUCAACUGCCAAAGCUUACCAUAUAAAUCGCAUCUUACUGACAGAUGCUCCAUAUCUUUAAUUAUCCCCACGCUCAUAUGCAAGUCCGGUCAUUAAUAAUUAAGACAUCGUGCCUUACCGAAUUGGUUUUUGUAGGUAAGCGAUUACGAAGAAGACGUCAAGCAAAUACAACGAUUUUUAAUAUGGUAACAAUUUUUAAUUGAAUAGGCGAACUACUAUCCGGUUGAUUAUCCCCACCAACUGCAAUCAACAAAUUAUAGACAUUACUCACAUUAUAACAAUGAGAGAAGUGCAUUAACCACACCCAACGAUCCUCCUUAUUGACCUGCAAAAUCACUGUUGUUAAUAGACCUACACACUCCUCUAACAAGUCUUCCUCCCAAGCAAACAGUCUUUGAAGCCACCUCCAUGCAACCCCUUCUGUCCCUCACUCUAACAAAUGCAUAUUUAUCACCACAUCCAAUUUAUUACCAGCGAGUUGUAUUUAAUUGUACUAUUCAUCCUACCUGAAUUUUGUACAGAAUUUUUAUUUAUUUUCAUUGUAUAAAUAAUUUACAUAGGGGUAGCUCAUCUAAGCUAGAUUUUUUUAGUAGUGUAUGUUUAUUAAAAUUUACUAAAGUACAUAUUUAAAAGAAAGUCUUAUCGAUGAUUUGGUGUUUUAAGUGUGAGGCACUAGGUAGUAAUGAUAUCAAUAAAACUAGAUUGAAUUAAUAUUCACUUGAAAUGGUUUUGUCUUUUUAUGCAUCUACUUGCUAUAUCUUCCCCCAGUUCUGUAUAAUCUGGACCCAUGCAAAAAUUGGUCCUACGUGGACCAGUUUUUUCCACCCUUAGAUUAGAUGGUUCCACAAAUCUUAUCAUAGUCCACCAACACUAAAUCAAACCUACAUCAUUUCCCCUCUCUCUGUGUUCCUCAGUCUUAAGGAAAAACAACCGUCUUGUUCCUCACAAUUACGACAUUCAAAAUAUAAUCUACCUAGACAUAUUCCUUUUUCUAAUCACUCAAACUUUAAUUUUUUUAAAUCUUAUCGCCAUUCUUUCUAUUGCUUAAUCAAAUGAUAUGCUUUGUCUUAUUACAUAGACCUUAAUUCAUUUAAAUCUUAUUUUCAUUCUUGUAUUCAUAAAAUUUAAGUAUUACAUAAAUAGUUUUCAUUUUGGCAGUAUUUCAAACAAAUCAAUCAAGCGUAGUUUUAAUCGUGCAACGCACGGGUAUCGGUAUCCUAAUUCCACACAAAUCUAUAGCGGUAUAGCUAGGCUAUAACAGUUACUCCCUCCAUCCCUUACUAUAGGAACGUCUAACAAAAAUAUGGUAUUAAGAAAAUCGUUGGACUAAUAAAUUACCCUCUACAAAUAUAAGAUCCAAUACCAAAAUUUGAUUUUCCCUAAAUAUAAAACCCUCUACAAAUUUCUAUAUGCACUUAUUACUCAUUUUCCCCAAAUAUAUUUCUUACUAAUACUAUCAAUUUAUCUUAUAAUGUAAAAAGUAAACAUUAAGGCUGUGUUUGGUAACAUAGAUAAGCUAGCUUAUAGCUUGUUAGAUUAGCUUAUAAGCUCGUUGGAUGAAAACGUGACGUGUUUGAUAACAAGCUUUUCUUAUGAGCUUAUAGCGUUUUUUGAAAAGUUAAUUCAAGUAACUUUUUAGCUUAUAGCUGGUAGCUUUUUAUAUUUUUUUUUCUCUUGGUCAAAAUCCUAUUGGAUCUUUUUCUUCCUUUUGCUAAAAGAUCAUUGCCUUCUGCUACCCAACUUAUUUGUUCCCUAUGUUCAUGAAGCUCCAUUCACUCAUAGUAAUUGCCCAAGCUCCAUACACUUUCCAAUUCUAAACAUCACAUUUUUACCAUCAACAGAACCACCACACUAACUGAUUUUCUUCUCUCAUUUUUACCAAUUGAAUCUGAGUUUAAAUCCGAGUUCCUACUCAAGUUCUUCCUUUGGAGUCUGAAUCUGAAUUCAAGAAAAAGGGUAGAAGAGGGUCAAAGAAAAAAGGGUUGAAUUUGGAUUCAGAUUCACUGCAAAUGACAUUUCACAUGGUCACUGCAAUAAAAAAACAACCUCCAUUGGAUGUAUAAAAUUGUACUUCUCUCUCGUAGUUGUCCACGGAGCUUCCUCCUCACCGACCAGCGCACCUCAUCUCCGAUCCAUCUUCUUCCACAACCGCAACAUCACUCUCAAAUCUCGUGACCAACUGAGAAUUUAUGUUCAUCAACCCACUUUUGUUCCUGUUUGCAACUUUUCUUUUUAAUGUCAAAAUCGUCAUAACUGAAAAUUGUAAUUUUUUUAUAGCGAGUCAAAAUCACAAGUUUCGUGAAAAGAAUAAUGAGGUAGAGGAAAACACAUGAACAUAUUGACUAAGAUAAAUUGCUUUGAAGGUUGUUGCUGAUGAAUCAUACGUGGGGUGGUUGUUAGGGUGUUUAGCGAUGAGUGAGAUAUGAAGGUGAAUUCUUAUAGUGCAGCACCAGACAAUACAUAAUAGUACAUGUUGAGAGUUUGAACCUCAAACCCCAUCUAACAAUUCUAUAUGCAUGAGUGUAAAGCUUUAUGGUUUGGUUUUCAAUUUAUCAUUUUUCUUGUUUCCAUGACUCACUGAACAUAAUUUAUCUAGUAGAACUCAAUGGCAGGUUUGGGAUGGUAAAAUCCUCCUUCCAAAAUAUCAUUUGCUUCCGCCUACUGGUUUAGAAUUCAAUGUUGCAAAAAUUAGACUCAGAAGUAAUUUAUGCUUAUGCAUUAGUAUUGUUUCUUUUUUUUUUACUUAGAUUUGAUUAUAUAUAUAAGAAAAUUUGCAUGAGUAUCAGUUACAAAUUAUAAUAAAAUCUAAUGUAUAAUCAGAUGCUAGGAUCAUAACUUAGUUAUAAUUACUUAGCUUCCUUCACCGUCUGUGCUUGAGAUAUAUGAUGAUUAUGGGCAAUAUUUAGAUUAACAUUACAUAAAAUGUAAAAUUAAAUAGUACCAACCAGAAAAUUUCAAGUUAUUAUUAUAAAAUGAAACAAGAAAAUACACAUUGAAGGGGUAAACGGAUUAGAAGAUGCUACAAAGAUACAAGACUUACAAACAAACAGAGUUCACCAAAACUAACGCUUAUAGCUUUACCCUUAUUUUUAAGCAUAUACUCCUCAAAACUAAGCCCCUCAAAACAAAAACAAAAAACGGAUUAGAAGAUGUUACAAGUAUACAAGACUUGCAAACAAACAGAAACUAAGCUCCUCAAAAAACGAAGUACACACUUACAGGGCCGGACCCCAGGGGUGCAAGCAGCUCUACAAAACCGGGCUACAAAAUUUUGGGGCUCAGAUAUUUUCUUAUUUUUAUAAUGCAGGUUGGAGUAAGUAUGUAGUAUUAAUGCUUAAAGAUUUCCAAACUUGCAUAUAUACUCUAGUGAUUGCAAUUUGUGUUGAUCCACUCAUGGUUCCUGGGUACAACUCUCAGCCAGGAUUAAUGUUUUUUUCUUUUAAUUUUUUUUUUUUUUGGUCUGUUUUAUUAGCAAACACAUUAGAACCUUUUUUUUUUCAUUCAUUCAUGUUAUUUUUUUGCCCUAACUUAUAGUAUAAAAUAACAAAAUUAUACUAUUUUUGUAAAAAAUAAAACUAAACAAACGUUAUAAACAUUUUUUUUCUCUUUAAAAAAAAUUGAGUUUUUUUCCCUAGGGGCCUCUCUUUAUUUUGAGACGACCACAAAUUUCAUAGGAGUUAACUCUACAAACAACAAUAUUAACUGCAUGUUUGUUUGGUGUCGUGGCUUUGUCGAAAUCACAACGAGUUAACAUGAUUUGCAAAUGCUACAAAGUGAUUUUAACAAAUUCAUCUUGAUACAAACAUACACUAGGUUAGAGUUCAAUUUUUUGUCUAAUUUGGAUGGAUUCCUUGCAAUAAGGAGAUUACACAAUCAUGCAUUCGAGACAUUAGCGAUCGUUAAAAUUUCAAUCAAACCGUUCGAAAGACUGAAAAUUCAAUUUUCAUUGUAUAAUUUCAAAUACAGAAUUUGAAUUUGAACAGUCCAAUCUAAACCAAACUGUCACUGGUUUUCAAAUGUGUGAAUGUAGGACUCGUGAAUGCAAGGACGUUGGUCCAUCUAUUAUUCUUUCAUGCAUUACGUGGUAGUUUUCGUUCUUGGAGUCUAGGUUAUGAAAAUAACGAAAUGAGAAAGAUAUUGACGAUAUAAAACAUGAUGUGAUAAUGGUGGAAAAAAACUCAAAAAAUAAGUGGCAGGAACAAAGUAAAGUGUAUUUUUUGAAUGUAUAAAUUAAAAUUAGUAAUAACAAAUGUUCAUUGGAUAUGUGAUGAUUGACAGCGUUUACUUACACACCGUUGUACAACGUAAUUGAGGUAAACCAACAAGGGUACAACACAUGUACAAUAGCAAACGCCGUUUCGACAUACAACUCUGGAGAAAUAGUGAUCCACCUCACUGAUAUUAGUUUGUGUGUUUUAAUCCAUAAUCAUGAUUAACAAACACUUAAUAGUUUAGUUUGUUACUUUUGGAUAAGCUUGAUUAGUUAGUUACAAGAGACUUACUCUCUAAGUCAUUGUAUAUAUAUAAUUGCUUGUAACUCAAUCAAAAUAAUGUGAAUACAACUUUUCAAUUCUCUCUCUCUCUCUCUCUCUCUCUCUCUCUCUCUCUCAAUAGCAUAACAAACUCAUCAUCACCUUAACCAAACUUCAUCUUCUCCAUUGAAACCCUAAUUUCAGUUUGCUUGCAAAUCAAGAAACCAAUUACUACGCUAAUAAUUGGCAUCUAGAGCUUGGGUUUUUCAUUCUGGGAAACACGAGAGACAUUGUGAGGGGUGAAUUUUCUGGGAAACACGAGUGAAGUGUGAAGAUUCAAAGGUUUCGUGCGAAGCAAUCAUGGCCAACAAUGGAGGUUUUGGUACAAAUAUACUGGUUCUUGAUGGGAAGAAUUGGGAAAGGUGGAGUGCAUUGAUGAGGUCACUAUUUGGCGCGCAAGAUGUUCUUGAAUUGGUUGAGAAUGGAUAUGAAGAUCUUGCUGCAAAUGCAACUGAAGUUCAAAGAGCUGCAUUCAGAGAAUAGAAGAAGAAAGAUUGCAAAGCUUUGUUCUACAUUCAACAAAAUGUAGAUUCUAAUCACUUUGAGAAGAUCUCAAAGAUAACAAGAUCCAAGGAGGCAUGGGAUAUCUUGGCAAAAUACUAUGAAGGUAGUGAUAAUGUGAAGCAAGUGAAGCUUCAGUCAUUGAGAAGAAAAUAUGAGUUGAUGAUGAUGGAAGAUGAUCAAAGGAUCAAUGAUUACAUUUCCAAACUGCAAUCUGUAGGGAACCGGAUGAAGGCAUGUGGAGAAGAAACGUCAGAUCAACAAGUUGUGGGUAAGAUAAUGAGAUCUCUCACAUCUAAAUUUGAUUUCAUAGUAGUUGUUAUACAAGAAUCCAAGGAUGUCAAAACUCUGAAGAUUGAGGAACUUCAAUCAUCACUUGAAGCACAUGAGAUGUUGGUGAUUGAAAGAAGUUCAGAAAGAAGUGCUCAACAAGCCUUGCAAGCUCAAACCAUCAACAAGGAUGGAUAUGACAAUAAUUCAAAGCAUAGAGGGAAAGAGAAGUGGAAGAAAGGAUAUUGGGGUAAGCCUGAUGAAAAAGGUGAAAAUUCAAAGUCUAGUGCAGCUUCUGGUAAUAAUCAGAACAAAAGAAAAGAUGUUGAUAAGAGAAAGAUUCGGCGUUACAACUGUGAGAAAUUUGGACACUAUGCUGAUGAAUGUUGGCACAAGAAAGAUGGAAAGAGAAAUCAUAAAGGUGAAGAAAAGGCAAACAUAACACAAGAUGGUUCAGAUUCUGAAGUAGUUUUGCUGAUGGCUACUACAUGUGAAGGAAAUCCAUUAUGUGAAGAUUGGUACCUUGAUUCAGGAUGGUCAAAUCAUAUGACUGGUCAUAGAGAAUGGUUGAUUAAUUUUGAUUCCUCAAGAAAAACAAAUGUUAGGCUUGCAGAUAACAGAAAUCUUGAGUCAGAAGAUAUUAGUGAUAUUGCCAUAAAAAUGAAAGAUGGAAGAAAUGCACUGUUAGAGAAGGUGCUACUUGUUCGAGGAAUGAAAUGUAAUCUAUUGAGUAUUGGGCAACUGAUUGAAAAGGGGGUUUUCAGUCACUAUGCAAGGCAACACCUUGAAUCUAUAUGACAAGCAAGACAAUUUGGUACUGAAGUCAAAAUUAACAAAGAGUAGAACUUUCUUGUGCAACAUUCAAAAUGCAAAAGAUGUGUGUAUGUCAGCAGCCUCUGAUGAAGAUUCAAACCGGUUAUGGCACAUGAGGUAUGGUCAUCUAAAUUUUAGGAGCUUAUCAUACUUGAGCACUAAGAAUUUAGUAUCUGGAUUACCAGUUUUAGAUGCAAAUAAGAAAACCUGUGAAACAUGCUUGAAGGGUAAACAAAGUAGGCUCCCAUUGGUGUCUGAAAAGCCUAAGAGGUCAAAAACUACUUUAGACGUCAUACACUCUGAUAUUUGUGGACCAUUUGAGGUACCUAUGUCAUACCCCAAUUUUUGACCCAAAAUUCCACUGACACGCGUCGUUUAACCCUGAUCAAUCACUAACACGUGUCGUUUAACUCUGAUUUUUUUUUUGUUCCGAGUCGGGCCCUCUUCUCUCAAUCUUUAAUCAAUUAGAACCACAAUAGGCACAAAAAACUCAGUUUCAACAGCACAUGUACAACACAAUUCUUCAAACGCCCAAUUCAUCAUUAAUCCAAACCCAAGCUGUCAAAAUCGUGACCCUUUCCAAACUAACACAAUAUCCGGCAAUCCGAAUCCAAACACCUCACCAACAAACCAAACAACAUCAGGGACCAAAGAUUGGAGUCGAACCUCACAACCAACACAAACGAUUCAAAGGACCCGAAUUGAAGCAUCAAACCAAACGGAAGGAGCAUUUGGAACCAUAACCGUGACACAACACGCAAACAAUGAGGCCGUCGGUUCAAUCCAGCCGCAAACGGCAUACUAUCAAACCGGAACAAAGAAAAAAGAAGAAAAGGUAAACUCUUAGAAUCUAGAGCUUAUUAAUUGUUUGUGAUAAUUUUGAGGUGAGGAGAGUGUAGGGUAGAAGAAAAAGAAACCAGAUCCAAAAAAAAAAAGAGGGGUUUUAACUGUCCGACACAUAGGAAGAGAGAGGGCAGAGCGUUUUCUAAGGAAAUGGAAGAGGAGAGAGAAAUGUUUGUUAAAAAUGAUAAAAAAAAAACCAGCCACAACAUAUAUAUAUUCGCCCCUUGAACCGAACCGGACCAAAACCGGUUCCCAUUUAGGCCCAGCGUGCCAGCCUUUCCUUAAGCCCAAUUCGUUUUUUUUUUAAUUUUUUUGCAUACCACUGCUUACUGCCUGCACCCCCAGCAUCAUUUUUUUUUUAUCGUUUUCAUGCAUUUAAAAUUUCCGUUGCAUAUUUUUUUUAUUUUCAGCAUUCACAUAUUUAUUUUUAUAUCUUAUUUUUUACUCGCAUUAAUUUAGAAUGUAAUUUAUUUAUUUUCGUUUUUUUUGCACAUAAUUUAGAAUGUAAAAAUAGGCUUUUAUGUAAUUUAUUAUAAAUGAGGUGGAAAAUUUAUUUUACACGUGGCAUCCAAAAAAAAUUGGAAAAAAAAAAUGCCACGUCAGUGACACAUCAAAGAAGGGCAAUAAUAUUUAUUUUACAAGGACGGAAUCUAAAAAAAAUUAUUAGGGAAAAAUCAAAAGUGCUCUAUAUUAUAGGGGUAAAGCUCUAUUAAUCCUUUAGUUUGUUACUUUUGGAUAAGCUUGAUUAGUUGGUUACAGGAGACUUACUCUCUAAGUCAUUGUAUAUAUAUAAUUGCUUGUAACUCAAUCAAAAUAAUGUGAAUACAACUUUUCAAUUCUCUCUCACUCUCUCAAUAGCAUAACAAACUCAUCAACCAAACUUCAUCUUCUCCAUUCAAACCCUAAUUUCAGUUUGCUUGCACAUCAAGAAACCAAUUGCUCCUUCGUUUGUGGCAGAAUGGGCCAUUGCCAACAAGGCCUGAAACUCAAAGUCAAAGUUCAAGCUCAGUCCAACAACACUGGAACUUCUCCUCCACCUAUUUCUCCACCAUGCCCUCAUUCUCCUCCUAGUCCACCUGAUGAUAAUGGCUCAACCAAAUGUAGAAGUGAAGCUGCUGGACCAAGUGUUGUUGAUCUAGAAUUCCAUGAUUCACUUUCUGAAGAUGCACU